UUGUUAUUAUCAUUCUAUUUAUUUAUUUAUUUAUUUUACAUUUUUUGUUAUUAUCUAUUUUAAUUUUUUAUAUAACACUCAUUUCAAAUUUUUAUACAUUAUUUACUUUAAUAUUUUCAUAUAUUAUGUAUUUCAAACUUUUUUUUACACAUUAUAUAUUUUGAAUUGUUUAUAUAUUAUUGUAAUAAGGCCAUUUCACCCGAGCCCAUUUCGCCCGGGCCCAUUAGAAUAAAAAAUAGAAUUUAAAACUCAAAAAUAAAACAAAAAUAAAAAAAACACACAAAUAAAGAGCCCAAAAUCAGAAGUCCAAUGUCCGGUUACAAAUAUUUGGGCCAAAAGUAACUUAAACCCAAAGUCCCUUAAUAUAAACUUAACCCAGUUACAUAAAACUUGACCCAAUCCUAAAACCUAAUAACUAAUAACCCAAACCCGCAGCCCAAUUCACAAACGGCCCAAAAGGCCCAGCUGCUUGGAAAUGCCAGAAACCUAAGGGUUUCUAGAACACACCAGUGCUGCAAUCGAGCUCACGCACGGCUUUCACGAGCGACUUUCUCCGUACGGUCGUUUCUCCAUACCUGCAAAAGAAUAUACGAGAAGAAGCAACAACAGAAUAUACAGCCAAAUGACAGAAGGAAAAUGUAUUUUUUAUUUUUCAUUUAUUCUGUAAAUUUGGCUACAAAAAGCCAUUAUUUGUACCUCGAUUUUUUACGCAUAGUAUACACUUACGCACGCAUACUAAAUACGAGAAAAAGUAUUUCAAAAGCAAAUUUGCAGAGGUGAUUUUCAGUUUCUUACUUACUUUAAUUUUUUCGAUUGAAUCAUUUUAUUUUUUCUUUUCAAUCUUUCGUUAUUAUAUUUGAAAAUAAGAAGGAAAGCAAAAUGGGGGGUCUUACUUUGCAAAAUCGCCACGGAUUCUUCUUUGCUUCGCUAAAAUCGAAGUCUGAGGAGUGGUCUUGAGGCUGCAAAUUGAUUUCCUGGUUCCAAGUAGUUCUAUCAUCGGCGGCGGCAUGCUAAAGGAAGCCCUAAGGGAAUGGGCUGAUAGCACAACUUACUUUAAAUUGAAGGAUUUGCGUUUUAAGUAGAAAGCAAUUGAAAAAGGGGGGUUUAACAGCAGAUCCAGAAACGGCGUCGUUCCAAAGAGGGGUAGGGUCCGCGCGUCAACCCGCUUGGAGACCCGAAUCCACCCCUUUGCGCCUAAAAUGGAUUAUUUGUGCAGCUGGCCCUUCCCAAUCGCGCUGCGUUGUGAUUAACUCCUUUUUGCGUCUGAUUGGUUUUGGUUCUAUUAAAAUCUUCCCUAAAGUUUGUUUGAUGUUGCAUCUUAGUCCAUGCCUCAAUGCAGUGUUUCAGGAUCAGGGAUAAUUUCAAUCUUAGUCCCUGUGAAUUCACGCAUGUUAAACAUGGAUCCUUUUAUUAUUAGAAGCUUAUUUUAGUUGUAAAUUAUUCUUUUUAUUUCUUUACCUUGAUUUUCAUUAAGUAAUUCGUUAGAUUUAUGUUAUAGUUUUAAAUUUGGAUUUAUUUAUUCGUACAUUUUGAGUUACUUUAUUAAUAUAUAUAUAUAUAUAUAUUUUUUUUUUAUUUUUUAUUUUUUUGUAUUAUUUAUAUUAUUUAUAAUGUUCAUAUUAAUUGUAUCAUUUGUAUUAUUGGUUAUUUAUUGGUUGUAAUUUAGGUAAUUGCAUCUCCACAUGUUGCACACAAUUUUAUACAAUGUUGUAAUUUGCUUUAUAUGUACAGUUAAUUGUUUGUUUCCUUCACCAAUUUAUGUUAUAUAUGUAAUUGUUGGUUAAAAUAAAAUCAUAUAUUUUCUACAUUAUUUAAAUUCUAACUAUACGUAUACAAAACCAUUGGUAUAUAUCAAAUUUAUCUAUAUUUACUAAAUAUUAGUAUUUUAUACAUAUAAUUUUUAACAAAUUUAUAUAUAAUUGCAAUUUUUUUUACUUUAUUUGUCAUAUAUAUAAUUUAUGCUAAUUGUAAGUUAAUUUUAUAAUUCAUAUUUUUUAUUCCAUACUAUUUUAAUAUUCAAUUAUUUUAAAAAUGUCUUCAUGUGUACAUUACCCAUUUUAAAUUAUUUUUACUAUAGUACAUGUUAUUAUUUUCAUAUAACUUUAUGUAAAUAUUUUUUUAUGUAUAUAUUUUCUUUUAAAGUUAUUUAUGCGUAUAAGAUAUUUUUUAAGGACCACCUUUUAAAUUGUACAAUUUAUUUAUCGUAUAUAUUUUCAUAUUUUAUUAUCCUCAUGUAUGCAUUAUUUGUAUGUACCAUCAAUCCAAAUUAAUUUGUUACAUGUAAAAGUAUGUUAUAUAUUAUUUGUUUUAAAUUUCCCUUUAUAAAUAUAGUUUUAUGAAUAUACAUCACCAAAUUUAUAUAUUUUGUAAAUAUAGUUUUUUACCUUUUUGUGUGUAUGAUUAGAUUUUUUUAAAAAAAAAAUUCGUUACAUGUAUAAUUUAUAUAUUUACUUAUUUUUUAUAUACAUUAUUAAUUUCACGCUAUCUUUUACAAAUAAUUAUUUUCAAAAUUAUUUAUAUAUACAUGUUUUAUAAAUUUGCAAUAACAUUAUAUCUUAUCAUGUGUUUUAUUUGUCUUUUAUAUUCUAUAUAUUAUUUAAGUUAUCAUGCACAUUGUAAAUCUCUAAAUUGUGUUUAAAAUAUUUUGUAUAUUAUUUGAUUCAAAUGUUUUAUUCUAUAAUAUUUAUUUUAAAUAAAUCUCUAGUUUUUAUACAAGUUUGUCAACUUAUAUAUAGUAUAUGUUAAUUAAUUCGUCAAUUUUAAAAAUGUCUUAUACUAUACUAAAGUUCUAAUUCCAUUGCAUUUUGUACAUAUUUUAUGGAUAAUUUUAUAUUAUGUCAUGUGAAUUAUUGUUGUAUAUCAUUUUUAUUGAUUGUUUAUUGUCCAUGAUUAAGAAUUUGUCACGUUUUGCUUAGAAUAGUUGUACAUAAUUGUGGAUUUGUUAAUUAUAAUUUGUUGUGUCCUAUUAUUUCAUGUUCGUAAAUUCUUUCUCAUGCAAACGUUUUGAUACAAUUCAUUAAGCAUUCCAUUUUAAAAUAGAUAAACACGUUUUGAGCAAAUUUUCAAUUUUCUUUAUCAUUCAAAAAUUCUGAAAUAAGGCAAUAUCCAAUAUGUGGGGAAUUCGGAAAAUCGUACUCAAUCGUACUGGGUAUGAUUUUUCGGUGAACCAAAUAUUUGGAUAACCUUUUUAUAAUUUUAGUGUACGAGUUUUCAAAAGUCAAAAAUCAAUCGUAUUUUUAAAGGUAUAAAGGAUCGUAUCCAAUCGUACUGGGUAUGAUACUGCAUAUCUUUGAAACGAGAGAUUUUUCACUGCUAAUUUGAGCUAUUCAAACAUUUUAAAAAAAUCAUACUUCGGAAAAUCUUUUCUUUAAAAAGCUUUUGAUAUAAGGACAGCAUCAAAUCAAUUUAGUACCAAUUUUUGGGCGUAAUGAGGGUGCUAACCCUUCCUCAUGCGUAAUCGACUCCCGAACUCAUUUUUUUUUAUUUUACAUGAACCAAAUUUAUUUUUCAUUGAAUAAAGUGUUUUAGUAGGUGGUUCAAUCACACCUAAAUCAAGAGACUGGUGGCGACCCCACAUUUUUUGUUUUCAAAAGUCGAUCCCCAUUGUUUUCAAAAUAAAAAGGGUUUCGACAAUUAUUUUUAAAGAAGUUUUAUAUAUUAUUUUAUCUUGAAUGGAUACUAUUUUUUAAAAAAAAAUUAUUUUAUAUACUUUAGAUCGUUAUUAUAACAUCCAUUUUAAAUCCUUUUUAUGUAUUAUUUGCUUAGAAUUGUUUUAUAUUUUAUUUUAGAUUUUCUUACUUUGUAUUUAUUUGUUAUUUGUGAUUCAUUAUUAUAACAUUUUGUUUAUGAAUUAUUACUUUGCGUUGUAUAUUAUUAUUCCAUCGCAUUUUAUUCGCUUAAAAGGUCGUGUUUUAAUAUCGUUUAAGUUUUAAAAUCAUUUUAUUCAAAAGUUUUCAAAAUAAGGCAAUACUCGGUAUUUGGCAUCUUUGAGAAGAUUGUGCCCUAACUUACUGGGUUCCAAUUUUCCUCGUUGAAUCUAAGUAACCGGGUACCCUUUUUCAAUCAAAAUGUAUAAGUUUCAAAUAAAAGCUUAUUCUCAGGAAUUCGAGGUGUUGUGUCCUAACUCACUGGAUAUGACAUUUUGUAUCCCGAGAUAAGGAUUUCUAAAAAAUAAAGGCAAUGUUCUAUGUUUGGAAAUCCGAGAAAUCGUGCCCAAUCGUAUUGGGUUUCGAUUUACCAUUUAACCAAAUAGCCAAAUGUCCUUUUGAAAUUUCAAAUGCAUGAAUUUUGGAAAUCAUGAAAUGAUCUUAUAUCGAGGGUUCGAAAUGUCGUAUCCUAUCGUGCUGAAUAUAAUAUUUUAUUCCUUCUGAGCGAGAGAAUCUCAAUGUCCAAUUCAAGAUAUCUAAACAUUUUUAAAGGAAUUGCGUUUUAAAAUAUUUUUCCAAAUUUUCAACAUUAGGACGUUAAUUGAUCUAUAUGGUACCAAUUUUGGGCGUUGCAAGGGUGCUAAUCCUUCCUCGCGUGUAACCGACUCCCGAAUCCAUUUUCUUGUUUUUCGUAGACCAAAAGCGUUGUUUUAAUAAACCAAAAUGCUUUAUUAAAAUAAUUGAUCACAAGGUGACCCGAUCACCUAAACAAAAAGGAUUGGUGGCGACUCCAUACCUCGUUUUUAAUAGUCGAUCCCUGUUUUUUUAAAAUAAAUAAUGGUUUCGACAAGAAGUUUUUAGCAUUAAAAAAGAAAAGCUUUCCGAAAAGGUACGCAAAAAGUCCAUUGUUACGGAGCUUAUGUUGUUGAAUGUAUGUGGGAGCUUUGUUUUAAAGGACCAAAAUGUUAGAAUCAUUAUGAGUGGAGUUCACAACUAAAAUAGUAAGGCUUUUUUUGUUCCUUGGAUUUCAGAAAUAAUGUUUCAGUCUAGUUCUUUGUCAUGUUGCACAAACACAUGAGCAAUACUUUUCAAGCUGCCAUAUAUGUACACUGUGAUAUUAGCCUUUCAAAGACAUAAAAAAAGGACUUGAAAACCUAAAUAUAUAGCUCCAAUUAGUGUAAACUGAUUGUAUAGUUUUUCAACAUUUCACAUCACAAUUGAAAUAAUUAAAAAUUGAUAAGAUUUUAAACAAAACCUGAUAAGCUUGUAAGACGUGAAUGGAAUAUUUUUAAAAUCGUACGUACUGAUUUAAUUGCAAUCAACGAUGAGACAAGUGAAGAGCUGCAUUUGUGGCGUGCGUUUUCUCCAUUUUCUCAAUCCUUCUUGCGUGAGAUUAAUUAUAUUAUCAUGUUUACUUUACGUGCAUGGCGCCUUUAAACUGGAUUUCUUUAUACAUACGUCUCUCGGAUGAAAACAAAAGUGUAGUCUAAUCGCAGCUAAGCUACACUUGAAUUUGUACCAAGUUAUUCCAAGAAUCUGAUAUGCUCGACUUGGGGGCCUUCAACUCACAACCCUCUUGUUUGUUUCUUCGACAUGAAUCACAUGAUAUCUACUUCCAAAUUUCUUCUAUUCACUUUCAAUAAUUAAACUUCAUAAUUGAGCUUUCAAACUUGCUGCAACCCUUUGUGCAGAAGGCUGCACUUUUACUUUAGAAGAAAAAAGCUGCCAAAGAUGAGCAACCUUUACUCAUUAAAAAAUUUGGAAAGUGUUAUAUGUUGUUCCAAUAGGGUCGGAAGCGUGUAAAUUAUUGUACUAAAAAAUCACACAAAGUUCAAUUCCCAGGGAAGAGAGGUGGAUCACAUGGAUCUCUUAAAUACCAAGUCUUUCCUUAGUCAGAAUAUCCCUUCUAUAGUAAUUUAAUAGCACAAUUAAAUACUACUAUUAUACCCUCAAAUAUUGAAAGAAAAAUAGGACAAAAAGAACAUAAGAGUUUUAACGAGGUUCGGUAAAUUAUACCUACGUCCUCGGGCACUAACACCAGAUGAUAACUUUACUAUCUCCAAAAUAUUACAAACAAAUAGAAUUCCUUAAGAAUUCUCAAAUGGGAGAAGAGAGAAAACUAAGAGAGAAAGAUUGGUUGGGAUGAAUUGAAAUGAGAAAUGAGAAGGCCUAUUUAUAGUUGAGGUUCAAGGACCAAACAAUAAAUAGCCCAUUAUCUCAAGGACCAAAAAAAAAAUUAUCCCUUGCCACUUUUCCAAAGUUGGUGGUUGUCAUUAUUGAUUGUCUCCCAUUAAUGUUAAUGGCAACCAUUAUUAAUUGUCUUCCAUUAAUGUUAAUAAUCUCCACCUUGAAGAUUUGAUUAGGAUAAUCACAUCUUCACACACUUCCUUCAACUCCCCAAAUUCGAUAAAGCUAUCUUUUGUAGUGCCUACAAAUGCGCUCUCGAGCGCCAUACACCUGAAGGUGCUCAAAUUCUCAGGAUGUUAAUCAAGUUCAAACAAUGAUUAAACUUGAUAGUUGUUACCACCUUGGUCAUCAUAUCUGCGGGAUUAUCUGUUGUCGGAAUCUUCUGAAGUAGAAUUUUUCCUUUUUCAAAGACUUCCCGCACAAAGUGAUAUCUUACUUCGAUAUGCUUGGUUCUUGAAUGAUAGACUUGAUUUUUCGCUAAAUGAAUAGCGCUCUGACUGUCACAAUAUAAACUUAUGUGACUUUGAACAACUCCUAAGUCUUUCAACAAUCCAUUAAGCCAAAUAGCCUCCUUAACAGCUUCUGUAACUGCCAUAUAUUCUGCCUCUGUAGUAGACACAGCUACUGUAGACUGUAAGGUAGACUUCCAACUCACUGGGGCUUUUGCAAGAGUAAACAGAUACCCCUUAGUUGAACGACGUUUAUCUAAAUCACCAGCAAAGUCGGAAUCAACAUAUCCAACUACAAACUGACCAAGUGCUUCAUCCUGUUCAAAAAUUAAACCAACAUCUACGGUUUUUCGAAGAUACCGUAGAAUCCAUUUCACAGCUUGCCAAUGUCCUUUUCCAGGAUCAUGCAUAUACCUGCUCACAACUCCAACAGCUUGUGAAAUGUUAGGCCUCGUACACACCAUCGCAUACAUCAAACUCCCAACUGCAUUAGCAUAUGGGACUUUCGCCAUAUAUUCUCUUUCUUCUUCAGUUUUCGGAGAUAAUUGAGCACUAAGUUUCAAAUGAGAAGCAAGUGGGGUACUUACAUGUUUUGUGUUUUCAUUUACACCAAAACAUUGUAAUACCUUUUUCAGAUAUUGCUUCUGAUUUAAACAGAGCUUGCCUCUCGGUCUAUCUCUACUUAUCUCCAUGCCGAGAAUCUUCUUGGCCUCACCUAGAUCUUUCAUCUCGAACUCUUGAUUCAACUGAGCCUUCAGCUUAUCUAUCUCAUUUUGGCUCUUUGAAGCGAUUAACAUAUCAUCAACAUACAAGAGUAGAUAAAUGAAAGAUCCGUCAUGCAGCUUCUGCAAAUAUACACAAUUGUCAUAUUUGCUUCUUGUGUACUUCUGCCUUCUCAUAAAGCUAUCAAAUCGCUUGUACCACUGCCUCGGGGAUUGCUUCAAUCCAUAUAGCGAUUUGUUAAGCUUACAAACCCAAUUUCUACCACCAGCAUCUGUGUAUCCUUCUGGCUGAGUCAUAUAGAUCUCCUCUUCUAACUCACCAUGCAAGAAAGCCGUCUUAACAUCAAGUUGAGCUAGCUCCAAAUUCAACUGUGCUACCAAGGCCAACAAAAUUCUAAUGGAGGAAUGCUUCACAACAGGAGAAAAUACAUCAUUUUAGUCAAUUCCCUCCUUCUGAGCGUAGCCUUUAGCUACCAAUCUUGCCUUGUAGCGAAUAUCCUUCUUGCUAGGAGAUCCAUCUUUCUUUGCGAAUACCCACUUGCAUCCGAUUGCCCUUUUACCUUUCGGUAAUUGCGCCAACUCCCAAGUAUUGUUCUUCCGGAGAGACUGCAUUUCUUCAUCCAUGGCGCUUUUCCAUUUAUCACUUUCUAAGCUUUGCAUUGCUUCUUGAUAAGUGAUAGGAAUAUCAUCAACAACGGGAAGGGCGUAGGCCACCAUAUCAGUAAAUCGAGCAGGUUUACGAAUUUCUCUCCGUGGCCUUACAACUGCAACUGGUUCUGGUGUACUUAGUGGUUCUUGGGUCAGAACCUCUUCAACCUCUAAUUCCUCCAUUGUGGCUGGAGAAUUAGACUUAUUAAUUGGGCAAAUCCCCAUCUGCUCAAACUCCACCUGUUUUGGAGUACACUCCACCUGCUGUGGAGUAUUGCUCGUCUGAAUAUCUUUAUCUGCUACCUUUUUCAAUGUGGCAGAUUCAUCAAAGGUAACAUCUCUGCUACAGAUCAUUUUCUUUGUGCUUAAGCACUAAAGACGAAAUCCCUUCACUCCAGAAGUGAUUCCCAUAAAGAGAGCUUUCUUUGCCCUCGGAUCUAACUUUGACUCCUUCACAUGGUAAUAUGCAGUGGUUCCAAACACAUGUAAGGAAUCAUAAUCUGUAGCCGGUUUUCCAGAUCAUACCUCCAUAGGAGUUUUUCUUUCUAAUGCAGAUGAUGGCAAACGAUUAACAAGAUGGCCAGCGUAUGUCACAGUCUUAGCCCAAAAUUGCUUGCCCAACCCAGCAUUGGACAACAUACAUCGAACUUUCUCCAGCAAUGUUCGAUUCAUACGCUCUGCCAAUCCAUUCUGCUGUGGUGUAUCCCUAACUGUGAAGUGUCGAACAAUACCAUACUCUUGGCACACAUCGAAGAACGGAUCACUUUUAUAUUCCCCUCCAUUGUCCGUCCUAAGCCGCUUGAUUUUCUUGCCAGUCUGGUUUUCGAUCAUAGUUUUCCAUUUAAGAAAAACUCUAAGCACUUCAUCCUUAGUUCUCAUGGUAUACACCCAAACUCUUCUGGAAAAGUCAUCAACAAAAGUAACAAAGUAGUGUUUUCCUCCCAAUGAAGGUGUCUUGGAAGGCCCCCACACAUCUGAGUGAACAUAUUCCAAAAUACCUUUUGUAUUAUGGAUAGCAGUACCGAAUUUCACUCUCUUUUGCUUUCCCAGAACACAAUGCUCGCAAAAUUUUAAUUUGCAAGCCUUUGCACCUUUCAACAAUCCUUGCUUUGCCAGAAUUUGCAAGGAUUAUUCGCUGGCAUGUCCCAACUUCAUAUGCCACAACUGUAUUGAGUCCAAUUCUUUGUUGCCGGAAGCUGCAGCGACUGCUCCAAUAACUGUACUACCUUGGUAGUACUACCUUGGUAGUAAUACAAGUUAUUUUUCCUGACGCCCUUCAAUAUCACAAGUGCGCCAGAUGUCACUUUCAAAACCCCAUCUCUCAUACUAACAACUGAACCAUUGGAUUCCAAGGCUCCCAAUGAGAUGAGAUUUUUCUUCAAACUGGGCACGUACCGAACAUCAGUCAGAACUCUGGUUGAUCCAUCUUUAUUCUUUAAUUUGGAUUGAACCUAUCCCAACAGUUUUACAGGCAUUGUCAUUGCCCAUAUAAACAACUCCUCCAUUUAGUUCUACUAAAUCAGAGAACCACUCCUGGUUAGGGGACAUAUGAUAGGUACAACCCGAAUCCAAUAUCCACUCAUCUGAAUGGAACGACGAUGAUGAUGCAACCAGUGAUAGUUCAGAGUCACUAGUAUCAUACUUAGCAACACAAGCAUCUACAGCAGCUUUUCCCUUAUUCUUCAGCUUUGGACAAUUUUUCUUCCAGUGGCCUUUCUUAUGACAAAAAGCACAUUCAUCUUUCCCGAGUCUGGACUUUGACUUUGAUCUCCCCUUUUGAGUUUUCUUCCGAGUGUAUGAACGACCUCGGACUACUAAAGCUUCUGUAUCUCUGAUUGAGUUUUUCUGUUUGUCCUUCUUUCUCUGUUCAUAACUGUAUAAGGCCGCACAGACUUCGCUCAGAGAUAUAUCACUCCUGCCAUGAAGUAGAGUAGUUUCUAGGAACUCAAACUCCUCAGGAAGUGACCCCAACAGCAUCAAAGCCAAAUCUUCAUCUUUGAAUGUCUCAUCCAUAUUCAGCAAAUCAGUGACUAACUGAUUAAAUUUGGUGAUGUGAUCAUUCAUUGUGGUACUUGGGACGUAUGUGAAGCGAAACAGUCUUUUCUUCAAGUGGAGCUUAUUUUGACUGUUUUUCUUCAAAAAAUUUUCUUCAAGUACCACCCACAACUUAUUUGCAGAAGUCUCCUUUGAAAAAGCAUACCUCUGCUCUCGAGAAAGGCAUGAUCGAAUUGUGCCACAUGCCAACCGAUUGAUCGCCUUCCAAUCUUUCUCCUGUACAUCAUCUGGUUUCUCUUCAUCAAUGGCAAUGUCUAGACCCUGCUGAAAAAGGGCAUCUAGAACCUCACUUUGCCACAUACCAAAAUGGCCCGUGCCAUCAAAGAUCUCCACGGCCAAUCUUGCAUUUGCAAUUGUCGGUCUUGUCCACAUGGACGAUGUUGAAGCUCCUACACCGACCGUUUUCUCCAUAAUCUUUCAAUAUACCUAAGGAAAUCUUUUCUGAUGUGGAAGAUCAGUUUAAACUGCAACCACAGAGCAUACUACGAUUAACCUUCGGCUCUGAUGCCACUUGUUGUUCCAAUAGGGUCGGAAGCGUGUAAAUUAUUGUACUAAAAAAUCACACAAAGUUCAAUUCCCAGGGAAGAGAGGUGGAUCACAUGGAUCUCUUAAAUACCAGGUCUUUCCUUAGUCAGAAUAUCCCUUCUAUAGUAAUUUAAUAGCACAAUUAAAUACUACUAUUAUACCCUCAAAUAUUGAAAGAAAAAUAGGACAAAAAGAACAUAAGAGUUUUAACGAGGUUCGGUAAAUUAUACCUACGUCCUCGGGCACUAACACCAGAUGAUAACUUUACUAUCUCCAAAAUAUUACAAACAAAUAGAAUUCCUUAAGAAUUCUCAAAUGGGAGAAGAGAGAAAACUAAGAGAGAAAGAUUGGUUGGGAUGAAUUGAAAUGAGAAAUGAGAAGGCCUAUUUAUAGUUGAGGUUAAAGGACCAAACAAUAAAUAGCCCAUUAUCUCAAGGACCAAAAAAAAUAUCCCUUGCCACUUUUCCAAAGUUGGUGGUUGUCAUUAUUGAUUGUCUCCCAUUAAUGUUAAUGGCAACCAUUAUUAAUUGUCUUCCAUUAAUGUUAACAUUAUACACACACAAUUACAUACAUAUGUGGUCUUACUACUUUUUCAUAUAGCAUAAAUAUUGAAUUUGCAUGAGAGAAAUCAAAACUUAUCCAAAGUUAAAGUCGCUUUGUCAUACUGCUUUUCCUUUCUGCUGCAAUUUUGACUAUAUAUAUAUAUAUAUGUGAGCCUGGAGAUGCUGCACUUGACCCACGCACCCAGAAAUUAAAGGAAAGAAACGAACAAAAACACCUUUGGGAGAUUAGAAAAGAAAUGAUUAUUUGACUGCCAUCCUCCAGGUUUGAAGGCAUUAUUAUAAUUAAUCGCAAUAUUGGGAUUUGGAAGCAUAAUAAUGUAAUUAAAGGGUUGAGAUGAUGGCACAUCAGUUUAAAACAAAAAAUCUUAAAAGAUAAGAGGAAUAGAAUCAUGCCUACCUAGCUACCCUGUAUUUAUUCUACAAAUUACAACUGUUUGGAGUAGCCGAAAGGAGUGUCCUAAUCUACCAUAGCCAUCCACAAACAUGCAUUCACUACAUUAUAUUGCUCAAUGUACGUCCCAGAUUCUAUACCAUCUUCGAAGUUAUUAUACUUAGCUUACCUUGAGAGUUACAAUAAUAUAUUCCCUAAAUAUAGACUUAUGAUAUACAUGUGGGUUUGAUAUAAUAUUUCUUCCUACUUAAUGUGGCAUCACGAGGACCUUGUACUGUAAGUUAAAUUGUAUUUUCCCCCUCUAUUUAAAAAAUAAGUAAAAUAGUCCUAAUAUGUUAGAUCAGAGAGUAAAUUUGACAUUGUUUUAAAAUUUUCAUCCAUUUUUGCUAAAAAUUAAUCCUUAUACGUCAGCAUGAUGUACACGUGACAUGCCACAUGUCUGUAUCUUAUUAUUCCAUCAGUCACAUUAGUUUUUAACAAUACAAAUGAAAAAAAUGUUUAAUUAAAAAGACUAAUUUAUUCUUUAAUAUAAUAUGAAGAGGUUAAUGUAACCUUGUUUAAGUAGGAUACUUUUACCACCGCGGAACAUGCUAUUCUAUAUCGUACCUGUAUGCAGGCAUAGCUAAGUGGAUUUUUGCUCCUCUGCUAGCAUAAACCCAAAAUGAUGUUUUAGCUUAAAAAUAUAAGAAAGCCAAUGUUUGAAAUCAAGUUUGUUCACUAAUUCCACCACAGCUUCUUUUAAGUUGAUCAGAAGGCUGAGCUUGGAACCUGCAGUGGGUGAUGGUCCCAACUCUCAGGCCUCAGCUCAAUUGGGUUUAAAAUGGGGAGAGAAGAUAUAAUCUAUAUGUUUGGUAGGGUUUACUCAUCUGACAGACCUUGACGUCACCCAUUACUAACUUCAUGCGAGGUGACCCUACAGUGUAAAAUAGUUAAGGUAAUCAAAUAAAAAACAUUUUUUUUACUAUAAGAUUUUGGAAAAGCAAAAGCAUAUGGCACCUGAAAAAGGAAGAAAAAAAAAAAGAAGAAGAAACGUGACGAGACAAUUAAUAGAAUUGGAAAAAGGAUGAAAGGAGUGAAGUCAUUUCACCAACUAAAACAAUAAACUUAAUUUUUCUUGAAUUUUAAGAUAUUCUUUUAUACAAAUGAGAUUGUAAUUUAAAAUUCGAUACUCAAAGAACAAUGACUUUAUACUGAUGACCAUAAAUUAAGUGGGAAAGGAAUAUAAGAACACAUUGUUAUUAUGUGCUUUACAAAGUGAUUCCUUAAUUCUACAUAGAUUGGAAGAAUAGGAAUUGGAUUUUCUAUUCAUUGGUUGGAAGCAAAAGGAGAAAAAAAAAGGCAUCAAAUUGCUAAAGUGGUGAUUAGUGAAGAAAAAAAAAAAGCUUGCUGAAUAUUUUUCUUUUUCUUUUUUAGCUGCCAUAACUCUGAUUUAUAGAGUUAAAUCCAUCAUACGUUUCUGUAUAUAUGUAGACAUUUAUGUAUAUAUUUUUUAUUAAAUCUCUCCUUUUAAAAAAAUGUACUUUUAAAAUUAUUUCAUACCCAUGAUAAAAGAGAAAAUGUUACUAAAAUUCCCAAUAAUUCAUACUCAUAGCUAAACUACAAAGAGGCAAAAAGAAAAUUAAAACAUCAAGACAAAACAAAUGGUAGAAAGAGGGGUUGAGAGCUUACCUCAAUUAGUUGACAUAUUUGGUGAGAAUAGUAUGCUCUUGGAUUUGCUGCAAACAAGCAAUAUUGCUCACCUAACACAAGAAAAAAAGAUGCAUUAAUAAAUAGAGGCUGUCUUAUCUUUAAAAGAUGUUGAAAUUAUUCAUGAUUUAUUGGCACUUAAACAGCAACUAAUAUAAAGGCCUUUCAAGGUCCAUCCAUUGACUUUUGCCCUCCUUGCAUGCACAUGAUAUUUUUAUUUAAUUACAUUCUAAUAAUUAAAUUUAAAUGUAUUUAUUUAAAUUUUUAUUGAAUUAAAUGUUAUUGGAUCAUUUUAAUUACAAUUACAUUCAAUAUUUUUUUCAUAAUAUAACUCUAUGAUUUUUCAAUCACGUCAACACAUUGUUUAACUUAAUUUGAUCAUUGGGGAGACUUAAUAAUUGCUUCCUUAUGCUAUUGGCAAAUCUAUUUAAUUAAAUAUUUAAUAAGUUAAAAUAUAUUUAAAAUUAUCUUUAGUCUAUAAAAUUUUCAUGUUAUUUAAAUUGGAUUAAUAAAAUAUUUUAUAAUUAUUGCCAAUAACAUAAAGAAGCAAUCAUUAAAUUCUUUAUUUAGCAUUCAAUAAUUAAAAUUUAAACUUUAUUCAUGUAAUCUCUUCCCUAAUUUGUAAAGUACAUUUUUUUCCACAUAGUUACUAAUUUAAGAUUACUAACCACAAUAGUAGAAGCACCUGCAACAAUCAAACCAGAAAAAUACAACUAUUACCAUCUUAAUUUAACCAAUUUGGAUUUAAAUGAAAAAUUUUUAAAAUAUUUCUUUUCUCUUUCCAAAAUUCAGGUUAAGGGUUCCUUUGAAUGGGUGAUACAUUUACUUGCUAUUAAUAUAAAAAUAAUAAUGAUGAUGAGAUUAAAUAUUAUAAUAUCAAAAAAAAAAAAAACUAAACACCACCACUACAAUAUUUGAUUAAUUGCUUAUUUAUUUCAGAAGGAAAUUAUGAUCAACUUAGACAUAUGAAGUGAUUCAUGGUGAUGUACUUUGCAUAGCUUUCUUUAGUCUAACUAAAGCAAUAACAUAAUAUUGGGUUUUUUUUCUUGAAAAAAAAAUUGAAAAGAAGAAACUUUAAUUUUAGAUUAAUUUGACAAGGCAGCAGGUAGCAAGUUUAUUUCAAUAAGGUCUAAUCAGUUAUCAUGCUUCCUCAUAAUUAUGGCUAUGUAGCCAACUUUAGUCUUUUCUGUCAUGGACCUUGGCCCCCCUUCUUUAUUUCCUUGCAUAUAUUUUUUAUUUGGUUAUAAAUUAAAUUUAUUACAUAUUACAAUAUAUUAUUUGAAUAUAACAUACCCACUUCAUAAUAACAGCUCAAGCAACUUAUUUAUUUCUCUGACAUAAAUUAUAUAUUCUUAUAAUUUAUUUAAAUAAAGUUUUUGAUUGAAAUAGUAGAGUUAAUAGUUUAAAAAUUAUAAUGUUCUAAUGUUAUUAUAAUAAUAUCACAUAUUUUGUAAAAAUUAUAAUUUUUUUAAUAAUUUCUUAAUUGAAUUAGUGUUAAAUUGACUUAUGACGCCUAAUUCAGUCAGGGGUAUUACUAUAAUAUUGAUACAAUAAAAAUUGUUCUUCUUGAUUUGUUGGUUAGAAAUAUUAUGAGUUGCAACUAAAAAUACAAUUGAAGCUGAAAAAGUAAAACAAUGAACGCAUGAAUUGGUUAUGUAGUUUGAAACUCUUUUCUAUAUUUGUAGGACCUUAUCCAGAGAUUAAUCUUUUAUAAUUCAAUAGUUCCAUUCACUCACUAUGUUAUAGCCUCAAUCUUAUAUAAUUAUCUAAAUUUAUUCUUCUACUAAGUCUUUUCUCCUCAAAAGCUUAAUCACAAACUCGUAAUCUAAUCAAAAUGGUUUAUUUGCAUCACAAUAUGCACUCUACAAAUUGCCCUAAUGAAUAAAAGAAUACUCCUUAACUCGUACAUAAAAUAAUAUCCAAGUCUUCAAUAUAAGAGCAUUAUUAGACUUGUAUAUUUGAGCUAGUACCAUUGCAUAGAACACUAAAAUUGUGCCUCAAUUAGACUCCUUAUUAUGAUAUGAGAUAAAAGAGAGAUUAUUUAGUUUAACUUCUUUGAUCUUUUGUAUUUCUUUAAAUAAAAUAAAUGAUACUAAAACUCUUUAAAAAUAUCAUUGUUUAAUUAAAUAUCUGAAAAUGAUGAAGAUUAUUGUUCAAUAUCCUUAAAAAGAUAAAUAAUAAUAAUGUAAUCCAGUCAAAACAUGUUAAUAAAAUACACAAAUCACAAAAACUAUUUAUUUAUUUAUGGAGAUAAUAUUUUAAUUCGAAUGUUAUAAUUAUUAUUCGCAAGAGAUGUAUGGAUAGUAUAAAAACAAUACAUCAGUUUUAGCUUUUCUUUAGCCGACGAAUUGCACAGUAGUAUCCCCUACUAAGAACCAAACAAGAUAAUGAAUGAGGCAUUUAUUGGAACGAGGCAGGAGGCAGCAAAAACGCAUCUACCUAACAAUUCGUAAAUUUAUUUUUAACCAAUUACAUUUUAUUUUUUUAUUUAAAAAAUAUGUAAAUUAAUUCCAAUACAUUAUAUUAAAGAGUAAACUGAUCUUUUGUUAAAAAAAUUAUUCAUUUAUUUUGUGAAAAAUUAAUACAUAUAUUUCAGCAUCAGGUAUACGUGGCACGUCACAUAUUAUUAUCAAGUUAUUUCAUUAAUCACGUCACUUUUUAACAAUAAAAAUAGAUCAAAAUUUUAAUUUAAUUUAUAAUAACUGAUUUAUUUAUUUAUUAUAUAAAAAAAUAAAAUACAAUCUACAAAAAUCGCAUUCUCACUUUUACCCUAACAAUUUACCUCGUAGAAUAUUAUAUUAUGAAUAUAUAUGUGUUGGGCAAUGGGCAUGUUACCGAGGCAGUAAGGGCCCAUGCAUCACCCAUCAUGGGAGACACUGACUUUGCCUUUGCAAAGCUCACACAAUUGCACCUCAUCAAACUAAAGAAAGAGAAUGCGAUGCUUUGCUUACUCCCUCUCCUAUUUUUCAAAUUUAGACCCACACUCCUCCUUUCAAGGCGUUUUGCCUGCAUCAUUCUCGCGUCUUAUUCUUAUUUUCUUUAGGUUUUUUUUUUUAAUGAGCUCCAUUGGAUCAUAGCGGUUAGAUUUUAACCAAGUCAGUUUAUUUUCUUUGAAAGUAGAAUCUGAUUACUAAUAUUAUAUUCUGAAUCUUCAUUUUGAUAAUUUCUUAUAUUAAGCAUCUUUUGCUAAUUGUUAUUAUUGUAAUGAUAAGUUUGGAUCAUAACUAUUCUAUUUGAUAUAAUAUUAGCGCACUCGGACCACGUACUCUUGUAUAAACAACAAUGUCAAAAUUAAUCGAAUUAAGACUAAAUUAACCUAUUGCAACGAGUUUAAAUAUGUUAAUAGAAACCUUUACUUAACAACAUUAUUUAAAUUUUAUAAUAAUUAUUAUAUAUAUACAUAAAUAUCAACUAAUAGAAACGUUUUAAAAUUGUUCCAAAAGAAAUAAAUGUUUUAAAAUAAUAAAAUUUUCAAAUUUCAUGAAUUCAUUCAACCAUACAUUUCCAUCCAUAAAUGCUUUUAAUUCGUAAUCCAUUUUAUAAUGAUAAAACUUUCGUAAGUUACUUGAAUUGCAAACAUGUAUUAAUAUAAAUUAUAUAUAUAUUUAAUAAAUAUAAUAUAAAAAUAAUUAAUUUAAAUUUAAAUUUGAAAAUUAAAAAAAUGUAUAAAACUUAGUAAGUUGAAAAAUUAAAUGUUGAAAGUUAAGCAUUGAAAAACUUAAAGUUAUAAAAUUCGUUUGAUAUAUUACUUAAAUUUAAUUGUAAAAUUAAUUAUAUUUUUGAUAAAUCUAAAAUUUAAAUUAUGAAAUUUUUUUUAUAGGUUUAUCAUUAUUUCAAACAAAGCCAAAAUUUAAAUCUAUAAUUUUAGAGGAUAGUCUGAUAUUAAAAUAAAAUAAAAUUUAAAGGAUAAUAUAAUAUUAAAAUAAAAAAAAUUCUAAAACUUAUAAUUUUUCAUAAUUUUUAUAAAAAAAUUUACGGUUUUUUAUUAUGAAUUAUGAAACAAACUAAAAAAAACUAAAUUUCAGCUAAUUUAAUUUUUUUCAAUAAGUUAUGAAAUAAUAUUUUAAUAAAAAUUAAGAGCUCCUUAAAAUAAAUAAAAGAAUAUUUCCUUUUGCUGAAUAAUUUAAAAAAUAUUAAAUUAAUGCUAAACUGAUAUAUUAAUACGGAGUUUUUGUAUAAUAAUUUUAUAUUGUACGUAAAUAAAAUAAUGUAUCAACUUUUGGACAGUACCUUUUGGGUUAGUAUUUAAUUUCUUCAAACUAAUACCAGUCUCAUGGACAUAUAAGCGUGUUCACGCGCCGAAAGGAAGAGGCGUAAACCCCACAUCUUUGCAGAAAAAAGCAAAGCAAAGCUCAUUGGUCUAUUUUCCCCCACUUUAGGGUUCAUCCAUGUCAAAGGAACAUUUAUUGGGGAACCGACCAAGCAAAGAAAAGCCACCGCCAUCGCCACCACAACCGCUUUCUGAUUUUCACACACCUUAUUUACCUUCAAUAAAAAUUAUUCCUCUAAUUUAUAUGAGAUUUGCAAUAUGAAAUUACCGUUAAUUUGACAUCAACGCUCUUUUUUUUUCUUUUUUUUUUAUUUCUAGUUGCCCACUUAAUUUUAUUUAAAACUUAUAUUAAAUAAUUAUUGAAAACAUCUAUUUACUUAUGUUAGUGGUAUCAGCGGUAAAGUUAAAAUAAAAUUUAUAGGUAGAAAUUAAAUUGUAAUAUUUAUAAUAAUAAAAAUAUAAUUUUAUUAUUUUAAUAGUUUAUAUUUUUAUAAUUUUUAAUGAAUUAAAUCAAAUUUUUAUCAUUUUUUAAGAAAAUUAAAAUACAAUUUUACUUUUAUUAAUUUAAAAUUUUAAAAUAUUUAAAUAAAAAUGGAUCGACCCCUGCCCUACACUCCUGAGUGAUAAGAGGAGCUUCUUUAAAAUUUUAAGAUUUUUAGAAAUUUUAUUAAACUUUCUAAAAGUUUUGAAAAUUUCAAUUAAAUCCUUCAAAACUUUUGGAAAUUCUUAUUAAUUCUCUCAAAAGUUUUAAAAAUUUCAAGUAAACCAUCUAAAAUUGUUGAAAAUUUUAAUUAAACUUCUCUUUUUUUUAUUGUAAUUAAGCUCUCAAAACUUAAUUUCAUGUUAUGUUUUUUAAUGCAAAAUUAGAAAGUUGAAAGAGUAAAUUUAAAUCUCAUAUUAUUUUAAGAAAGUUAAUAAUAAAUUAAAAUAAUCAAAACAAUUUUUUAGUCCUUUUCUAUUUAAAAAAUUUUAUAUAUUUUUUAGAUUUUAAAUAUAAUUUAAUGAAAAUUUAUCAUCAUCUAACUCGUGUUUAUGAAUUUAUUUUUCAUGGACUAAACAAAACGUUUAAUUUUAUAUAAAACUGAUUGUAUUGAUUUAUUUGUUUUCUUUUUCAAACAAGUAAUUUAGCUUCAUUUUUCUCUUUAUUAGUAAUUUUGGCUUUUAGUAUGCUUACUAAUCUUAUACUUUUUCAAAUUAUAUAUAUAUAUACAGACAUGGAAAGAUUUGUAUUUUAUCAAGAAAUCAGAAACAAAUAGAAUUGGAUUUUUGAGAUUUUUUUUUAUAAAUAAAAUAUUUUUUAUGGUUCGUAAAAUUUAAUUAUUUUGAGAUUCAUAUUUGUCUUUUUAAAUAAUAUUGUCUUAUUUUUAUUAAAAUAAUAAUAGAAUUUAUUUAAUUUUAAAUUUUCCAAGUUGUGAAAUUAAUUCUCUCAUAUUUUAGGGGGUAAGUUUGCAUGCAUGUAGGAUUGAAUAGAUCAAGUAACAAUAAUUUUUUCUUUCAAUGCAAUGAUUUUGGGAUUUGGUAGUACGUAAUCAUUAGUUAAUGCAUGUCUCAUUAAAAGCAAAAAUUUCUAAACCAAGCUUUAAGCUUAAGGUUAUUGUGAUCGUACUAAAAUAACUAUCCAUGUACUAUUCUAAUUAAUUUAGACUUAAAAUAUCAUUUGAAUCAACAGUAUAUUUAUAUGCAAUUAGUAUAAAAGUAAUAGUGACAAUGAAUUUAAAUAUUGUAAUAAUAUUGUAGUAUAAAAUAAAAACAAAAGAAAAUUAAACACACUACACUAAAAAUAAGAGCAAUUUUGGACUCCAUUUCUAAUAUUAUAAUUGAUAAAAAUAAAUGAGAAAGGGCUAUUUGGUUAAUUCAUCCAACCAAAACCCAACACUCCUUUCAUAUGAACUUACAUGGUAAGUAGGUUCCCCCUCCCUUCUUUAAAUUGGUUCCUCAACAAAUGUGUAUCGAAUUUCAAAACUUACUUUCCAUUCACCUUUGCUGAACCUUUUUUUUUUUCUCUCUUAUUCUCACCUUCCCCUCUGCUCCUCCUAAUCUAAAGCCUUGGUGCUGGUUCAUGGAUAUUGAACCCUUGUGGGCUCUUGGGGGGUGGUUUUUUCUUUAUUUCUUUGAUUGUAUGGCAGCACCUAAAUCAACAUCAUCGCUCUCACACGCCUAUGAAAAACCCCAUUUUUUCCUACUCUUCCUCACCCUUGUCUUCUUGGUUUUCCUUCUACUCCUUAACCCCUCUUCAAACCCUAUCAACUCAUCCAAUGUCACCCCUUCCAUCCCUUUCAAGAGGCUCCUCUUACGUAAUUCAUGGAAAUCAUCAUCAUCAACCAUGAACUUGCCCCCCAAGCAAAGGCGUCAUCCCCGCACCUCCGCGUCUUCGUUCGGAGCCGAAGCUCAUGAAGUUCCUAGCGGUCCAAACCCUAUUUCCAACAGGUAGGUAAGUGUGAUUUUGUGGAGACAUAUGGGGUGAAGAUGAUAAAGAAAGAGUCGUGACAGCGAAACUUUAUUGUUAAUGUGUUUUGUCAUAUCUUUUCUAUGAGUACUGUUUAGUUCCACCAUUAAUACCGCUUGUCCUCUCUGUGAGGAGUUUGUCAUCGUCAUCAUCUCUAGCAUUACUUUUUUUUUUUUUUUGAACUAGAAAUGUAUAGGAAGAGAGAUACUCUAUAUUUUUCUACAUCUAUGUAUGUAUGCUAUUUGUUUUAUAUAUAGAUGAUUAUGGGUAUGGUUUAUAUAAAGUUACUUUGAUUUCUUGUAUUCACUGUUAUACCAUAUGGAUUCUUGGUGGGAUAUAUAUGAAUAAUCUUGUUUUUAAUUAAUUCAGUAGAGAUUCAAAUCUGCAUGACUCCUAGUGAGUUGGUUUCUAAUUUGGUGAAAAACCAUGCCCCCUCCUGGUAAAAAGUUAAAGAAUCAUGGGCGAUAAGCAUGGUUUUUGUGAGAGUGUAGUGCAUGGCCUUUCCUUUCCUUGGGGGAGGAAAGGAAGGCAGAUAAGAAGGGAAUCUGGGUGGCUGCUAGGCCAAAAUGGGAGCAGCAGAGAAGAAGAGAUGACCACAACAUCUUUUGUUUUGUUUUGUCUGAAAAGAAAUUUUAUCGGGUCAGUAAAUUGGGACAUAGCUUUUGUCUUCCUGCUUUGCACAUAAAUCGAGAAAGUCGAGAUGCCAAAGUCAUGAUUUGAUAAUUAUUACUGUAUCAUUUUUCUGGCCUCUGUUGUUGAAUAAAAUGUUACCCAAUCUUAUGCUUUUUCUGAUGCAACUAAUUAUUAUGCUUUUUUUUUUUCUUUUUUUGGCUCUAAAACAUCUUCAUUUCAACCAUUUUCUGGGGUUGCUUUGAAGCGUUUUAAUUCAGAGACUGGUCAACUUAUAGUGAAAAGUGAAAACUGAAAGGUUAGUACUUGUAAUUAUGGCUGUCAAAUUCAAAGAAAUUUGUUUUACUCACUUUGUCUUGCUCUAUUUUAACCAUAAUUUUAAUAUUUAAAUUGCACACAAAUUUUUUAUAAUAUAUAUUAUAUAUAUUAUUCCAAAUUUAUAUAUUAGAUAUUUAUAACUUUUGUAGUUGCAAAUGACUUCUUCUUUCAUUUCUUUAAGGCAUCGCGUAUGUAAUUACAUUGUCUUUUACUAAAUAAUUUUUUUUUUUUUUGUAUUUAUAGAAUGAAAGAAAACAUUUAAGUGAACCCAUUUUACGCUCUUCACAAUAAAAAAGAGCAUUUAAGUGCAAUGAAAAAAGAAUUAAUAAAUUGCUUUAGUUUCUUAAUUGAAGGAUGAAUGGGAGUUUAGCCGAUAAACACUCGCAAGACCUUGUAAAUUGAUUAUUAAUAUAUAUUUUUAUAUUAAUAGGAUAAGAUUUACAGAUUUAAGCAAAAUGGCAACAACUUAAUUAAAAUUUGAAUAAAUCGGGAUGGUUAAGAAAACAUUAAUAAAUAAAUGAAAUGAGUAAUUAAUAGAUGGAAAUGGAAACGUUUCGAAUAAUGGAGCUUCGUAGACUUUAUUCAGCAUCAGAUGAUAUUCUGCUAAAAAUAUUUUUAAAAAUAUCUAAUUUAUUUUGCUCUCUAACUUAACAAAAAAAGAAUCAUUUUAAUCAUCCAUCUAAUUUUUCACCUCUUUUAGCAUUAAAAUUUGUUCUAUUUAUCAAAUAACUCCAAAAUGGGUGAAAAUGUUAAUAUAUAUUGACUUUGUUGAUGUGACAUAGUCACAUAUUAUCAUGUGGAUGCCACAAUAACAAUUAAUUAUUUUUUUAAUAUAAAAAAUUCAAAGAAGUAUAAAAAGUACAAAAAAAUUUAAUUUUAAAAAAAUAAUUACUUGCUAAUGUGACAUAUGCAUAGAGUAAUGUCACAGGCAGCGCAAAUGAGCCUGCAACUAAUGUGGACAUUUUAGACUUUUCAUGUUCACUUGGGGUCAUUCGACCUGACAAGACUGCCUAUUGCUUAGAUGAGACUCAAGGCUCAUUUACUUGGAUCCUGGUUAAAAUGUAAGCACUCCAGUAACUUGUACUUUUAUCAGGAUAAUUAUUGUAAAUCCUAAAUGAUAAGAACGUAUAGAGUUUAAAUCCCUUAAAACUCUCAUAUAAUAAUAGAUAGACACUAAUCUCAAUCACUGAUGUAACUCAAUCGUACCGUUGGAUUUGCGAGAGCUCAACUAUAAAUAAAGCCCUUCCCUUUCAUUUGUAAUCACUCCAUUCUUAAGUAAUAGAAUAUUUUUAAGAUCAUUUACUCAAACACUUGGUGUGUUAUUGUUUUCUUGUAGUUUUUCUGUUCGGUUCGAGUUCAUAUUUGUCUUUGAGUUACUUUUGCUUUAUUUCGGCGUCUUAGAGAAUUUUCAUUGUGAAUUCUCAUUAUCAAGAGUUAGGCUAACUUAGGCAGAUUUGAAGUAAAGAAAUCGCCUAAAACCGCGCAGUUUGCCAAACAAAAGCUUCAGCUCUGUUACAGUUGGUACCCAAGCCAAGGUUCAAAGGCACCAGUUGAUAUGGAAAAAGGAAUAAAUGAGCAGAUUGGGUCUAAGGAGACCCAUAGGAAGGGAAGGAAAACUAGUAGAUCGAAGGAUACUUUGCCAGGUUUAGAAGGUCGGGUGACCACUUUGGAAAAAUUUAUGAGUGGUGUAAAUGAAAGAGCAGUUUAGGGAAUAUGUGGCACAGACUCUUAGUUCCAAUUUGGAUGCGAUGAAAGGGGCCCUCAAUAUUGCUAUGGAUAAUCAGAUAGAGAAGUUAACUAAGAGGAAUAAUGCUUUUAAAGCUAUGAUCUUAGCUUUGAAGGAGCAAACUGAAGUCAUGAUAUCGAGAAUUGAGGAGCUCGAGGGGUGCUCAUUGUGUACAGAUGUGAGUAAAUAGAUGCUAGUUUUGGUCACUAAGUAGUGUAAAAUGGAUAUCCCCAAGCUGAAAAAGUUUAAAAGGAUGAGGUUUGUGAGGGAUGUAGAAAAUUUUCUCUAGGGGAUGAGAUUGGUGAAUUAUCUGUUAAAUGUUGGGGUGGUGUAUUGCGUGGAUUCGACAAUGCACCCAUUUCCGGAACGUCUCGCUGGAAUUCACCAUUUGACAAAUUAUUUUGGGAGAUAAUCCGUCAACCCUAAAUAUUUUGGGGUGAACUAGUUAGUUUGUGGAUUGAUAAUUUUUUUUUGUGUGUUUUAGCAUGAAAAUGAUAACUUGGCGAGUAUCAUUAGAGUUUGGUUGAGACCUAGUUGGGAUUGAACUAGAGUAUUAUAGAAUACAACUUGAUGUGUUUAGGUAGCUGAAUUUUUUGUUUAGUUGACUUAUUUUAGUAUGCAAGUAACGUUUUACUACUCAUUAAGCUAAUUAGUGGUAGUAGUUAUGUUUGGUAGAUGAUUAGGUUAAAAAAUUUUAAGUAAUUAUAUUAUCAAGUUUCAAGGGCUAUAGUGAGAUUUUCUAACCCUCCCACUAAGCUUUUUCCUUGUUGCUUGCGCUAUAUAAAGAUGUCGAUAGCCGACAUGUUUCACAUUUGCUUUUCUCUGUGUUCUUUUUUGAGUCUCUGGAAAUUUUUAAGGUAUCUUCAUUUGAGAAGAAGAAGGAGGUUUCAGUAGCUAGUCAAAACACCACUAUUAAGUACCAGCUUACUGGUAAUUUCUGGAAAGCUCUUAGGUUAUUGAUAAGUUAUAAAAGUAACGUAUUUUAAUCUUAUUCUUAAUUUGGUUUUGGAUGAUUAUUUAUGCAAAUUGGCAAAUUCGAUGCUCAUAAUCCUUUAAAUUUAUAUUUCUAUAAUUAGGAUAACAUUUGGGAGUGAAAGGUGCUAAAAUGAGUCAAAAUCGGACAAAUAGAGCUGUUUUUAAUAGCCACAUGUCCUGGACCUUUUUCACACAGGCUGGGCACAUGGCCAUGUGUCAAGCCAUGUCAAUUUCGCAACUCGCAUCCCAAAUGCACUGAAAAAUACAUUUUUUAAGCUUUCUAGGCAUUCUAAAGUAUAUAAAUACUAAUUAGAAGAAGAAAAAAGGGAGCCAUCAGAGAAUAUCAAAGAAAACACUUAAAGAACAUCAUUAGAAGCCAACUGUGAAGUGAAUCUCCAUCAAGAUAGAAGAUCUCUUUUUAAUUUCUCUUGAAGUUUUUAUGAGUUUCUUCGUUCCUUGUGUUUUUUCUGACUUUGAGAUAUUUUUAUACACAAUUAUGAACUAAUUCCCUAAAUACCUAGGAAGGAGGAAACCUAUGAUGAAUUCUAUUAUUUAAUUUCUGUUUUAUACGAUAAAUACUUUAUUCUUAUUCUCAAGUAUGUGUGCUUAUUUCUUAUUUUAAUAUUUUCGAGAUAUUAAUUCAUGUUUAAUGUGCUUAAUCAAAGGAGCAAAAGUCUUUGUUCAAGAGUAGAUCUAGCAUAAUUAGGUGGAGUUGCAUGCAAUCCUAGAAAUAGGACAACAUAAAUCUACAGGAUUAGAGUCAAAUCUAAUAGCGAAAUUCAUAGAUCGAAUUAAUACAAUAAUAGGGGUUUUAAUUAGAAAGAUAUUUCAAUUAAUCAACCUAGGGUUAGUAGCUCUUACUCUCGAAAGAAAUAUUGGCAAAAUUUAGGGAUUUCUAUGGAUCAAGACACCAAGUGAAUAAAUCGUUUAAAUCAUAUUCAUAAUAAUAAAUAAAGUCUAGGUGGAUUCUUUCCUGGGUAUUGUCUCUCUCAUUGGUUAUCGUUCGAUUAUUUCCUUGAUUCCUUUUCUGUUGAGUUCUUAGUUAAAUUAGUUUAGUAAUUUUAGCUUAAAACUCAUCACUCCAAUUUGUCAGCUAAAUAAUAAAAAAACAAUAAAUACUAAUACUUUUAGUCCUCGUGUAUACAAUAUCUUUACUCAUCAUAGCUAUACUAUUGUUCGAUAGGUGUGAUUGUCUUAGUUGUAAUUUUUAGUUAGUUCAGUGACAUAUCAAUUAUUGUUGAAGGGAUUUACGUUUUUGCAUUAGUGCAUGCAUGAUUAAAUUAGAUAAAUGGUUUGAUGGUUAUAAUUGUUUCUUAUUUAGCUCAAGAAGCUAGUGAAGGUCUGAGCAAUUGAGGCAAAGGGCCAGUAGAGUAGAUUUUUUAAAAAACUUGCUGGUGAGUUCCUUCUUACUUCCUUUGAGUUAUGAUGCUUCCGUAAUAUGUGGCUUGUGUAUGGUAAGUUGUCUUUACUAUAAAUAAGUCAACGUGUUGUGUCUAGAUGCGUGUGUAAUAAACUAGUAUUAUAUGUGUGAGUAUGACCAUUGUUGAUAUAAAAACACUCUCCUUGUUGCACGAACCUAGUACCAAACAAAUUGUGAUAUGUGAAAAUACGGGAAGGAAAUUUGUUUGUAAUGCCUCUGGUAGGGCAGUUAUAUUGCAAACCGGAUUGACAGAUCACGGCCCGACCUUAUAGGAGAACACUUGUUCAACUUAACAGGAAUGAUAUGAAUAUGAAUAUGAAUAUGACUAAUUUGUGAUUCUAAAUCCUAAAUUAUGGGUUCAAGGUUAGCACAAGAAAGGGUCAUUUGUAAACAUGCAUGAUUAUGAAAGGUACGCAUGAGCCGGCAGACAAUAAAAGCCCGUGUAUUGUGUGUGUUAUAUUUAAAUUGGCAAACUGUUUUCGCUAGUGAACUAGAUAAUAUUAUUGAUGUAUUGUGUUUGUACGACAAAAUCUCUUGAAUAAGCCUAUUUUUCUUAUGGGUAUCAAUGCUUAUUUAAUAGUGAUAUUUCUGUAAAUUAUUGCAUCCAUUUUUGGAACUCACUAAGUUCAAUUGAACUUACUCCAUUACUUAUCCUUCCUCAGGUGUAUUUCUAAUAGAAGAAGAAUCAGUUGAAUGGGGACUACGCUAGAGCUGUAGUUACGAGUAAGCCACUUGUUUAUUUUGUAUCAUGCAUGGCUAUUUGGUGAAUGAAGUAUACAUACGUUUUGUAUCUACUUUUGAAAUUAUCUUUGUAAUUUGUAUUAUUUUGUCUUAAAAAGAAGAUUACCCUUUACUAUGAAAGUGUACACCAAACUCCCUUGAAUUGUAGUUAAUGAACUUAUCUUUUAUAUGCAUACACCAUAGUUUGGCAAUGGUUGGAUAAUAAGACUUUUCUUAGAUAGUUCCUAUUACUUUAUUUAAUAAUACAUUACAAAACAAAAGAACAAUAUUAGUUUUUAACUAAAAAGGAAGCCUUCAUAACUGUCUUAACAAAUAUUGAAGUUAAGCCUAAAGAUCUGAACCUGUCUGUAAUGCUCCAGUCCGUUAGGGUGUUUUGUCUGGCUGAAUGAUACACAUCAUGUAUUCCUGACGGGCUAAUGGAUGUUACAUGAAGUUUUUUACUUAGCAAGUUUGAAGGUUAAAGAGACUCAUAAGCCUAUUAAUGAGAUCUCGAAAGUGGUGAUUCAGUUGUUAUAGUAUUUUUGGGGUGUAAUGGCUAUCGAGCUACCCAAGAAGUUACCUCCUAAAAGGGAGGUGGAUCACAGGGUUGAGUUAAUACCCAAUGUUAAACCGUAAACCAGGUCCCUAUACUGAAUAUCAACGCCAGAAUUGGAGGAACUACGAAAAUAAUUGAAGGAGCUCUUAAAUUUUGGGUUCAUUACACCAUAUAAAGCCCUAUAUGGUACAACAAUAUUGUCAUUGAGAUUGUGCAUCAGCUAUCGGGCAUUGAACAAGACCACUGUGAAGAACAGAUACACAAUUCCACUUAUUGCAUAUUUAUUUGAUCAACUUGGUAGCGCAAGUUGGUUUACCAAGUUAGAUUUGCGAUCGGGGUGCCAUUAAGUCAAAACAGUCAAAUGGGAUGAGCCAAAAAUAGCUUGUGUGACACGCUAUGGCUUGUAUGAGUUCCUUAUUAUGCCUUUUGAAUUGACUAAUGCUCUAACGACAUUUUGCACACUGAUGAAUAAGAUACUUCAGCCUUUCUCAAAUCAUUCUUUGGUUGUUUAUCUUAACAACAUUGUGGUGUACAAGUCACUUGAGAAGCAUAUGGAGUAUUUGAGAGAAGUUUUCCAAACCUUACAAGAGAAUAAGAUUUAUUUCAAGGAGGAAAAAUGUUCAUUUGCUAAAUGUGAGAUACCAUUCUUAGGUCAUAUUGUGGGAGGUGACAAAAUUUGGGCUAUUGUUGAUUGAGAGCCACCAACCAAGGUAACAAGGUUGCUAUCUUUCCUUGGGUUGGCAAAUUAUUACCCAUGCUUCAUUGAAGGCUACUUCAAAAUCACCACACCCUUGACAGAUUUAUUGAAGAAGGGUACUGUGUGGGAUUGGAACGAACAGUGUAGAAAGCCUUUGAUCAAAUGAAACAAGUAAUAACCAAAUAGACCGUGCUUGUCUGGUCGGAUUAUACUAAACUGUAUUAGGUGCAUACGGACACAUCAUACUAUGUAAUCAAAGGAACACUGAUGUAGGAUGGGCAUUUUAUAGCUUUCAAAUGUUGAAAGCUUAAUGAUACUAAGCGGAGGUAUAAGUUUCAAGAGAAAGAGGUGACCAAAAUAGUGUAUUAUUUGCACACAUUGGGACACUAUCUGUUGGGCUUUAGGUUCGUGGUAUUUAGGGAUAAUAUUGCAAAUAGUCAUUUUCUAACUUAGCAAAAUUUAUCUUCCAAGCAGGCUCAUUGGCAAGUUUUCUUAGUAAAAUUUGAUUUUAGCUUGAAAUAUAAGUUGGGGAGAGCCAACGUAGUGGCUAAUGCAUUGAGCCAAAAAAUAAAGUUUGUAAAAAUUAAUCAACCUAAUAGUUUCUAUUAGAGUGCAUUAGAGAGGUAUUGUCUCAUGGUCCCACAACCAAAACUUUGAUUGAACUUGACAAAAAAAGGAAAAUAAGACGAUUUUGGCUUGAAGGAGAUUUGUUGUAUACUUAGAGGCAUCUUAUUUAUGUGCCUAAAUAUGUAAUAUUGCGUAAGGAAAUCAUGAAAGAGUGUCAUGAUAUGAGAUGGGUUGGCCAUCUCGAUAUGUACCACAUACUGGCUUUUUUGAAGUACCGUUAUUAUUGGCCUCACGUGGGUGAUGGUAUUGAGACCUAAGUGAAAAAUUGUCUAGUGUGCCAACAAGACAAGGUAAUGUUAAAAAGUCCAACUGGUUUAUUAUAGCCUUUGCCUAUUCUAGAAUUCGCAUGGGAGAGUUGUUAGAAAAAUAUCCAGAUUGAAAACAGUUUUUUACUUAGCAAAAAAAUUACUAAAAACUAAAUUAGUUUGUGAUAUUUAUAGCAAUAAACCUUAACUGAAUACGGAUUUAUGUUUUCUGAUAAGCAGAGCCUUAAUGUCACGGGCCACGCAAAGGAGCCUGUAACUAAUGCACACAUUUUAGACCCUUCGUGUUUAUUUGGGGUCAUUCGGCCCGACAAGACUGGCCCAUUGCUUGGAAAAGACUCAAGUUCCAUCUUCUUAGAUCCUAGUUAAAAUGUAAACACUCCAAUAACUUAUAUUUUUACCAAGAUAAUUAUUGUAAAUCCUAAAAAAUAAGAAGGUAUAAAAUUUAAAUCCCUUAGAACUCUCAUCCUGUAGAUGUGCACUAAUCUCAGCAAUUGAUGUAACUCAAUUUCUACCGCUGGGUCUAGGGGAGAUCAACCAUAAAUAGAGCCCUCCCCCUUCAUUUGUAAUCACUUCAUUCUUGAGUAAUAGAAUAUUUUUGAGAGCAUUUAUUCAAACAAUUAGUGUGUUAUUGUUUUGUUAUGGCUUUUCUGUUUGAUUCGACUUCCUUUUUCUUUGAGUUGCUUCUGUUUUAUUUCGGCGCCUUAGAGAAUUUUCUUUGUGAAUUCUUAUUUUCGAGAAUUAGGCUGACUUUGAAAAUUUUGAACCAAAGAAAUUGCAUACCGUCGCGCUGUUUGUCAAACUAAAGUUCUAUUCCCGUGACACUUCCACGUGGAUGCCACGUCAGCAAAGUUAAUCGACAUUAACUUUUUCAUCCAUUUUAGGGUGAUUUAACAAAUGCAUUCAAGAGCUAAAGAAACGAAAAAUUAAAUAGCGGGCUAAAAUGAUUUUCUAUGUAAAGUUAGAAAGUCAAAAAAAUAAUUAUGCUUAAAAAAUAAAGAUAAUUAUUUUGUUGACUUAUAGAAAUAAAAAUAUACCCUCCACGAGUAGGUUCAAAAAUAUUUUAUUGUGUGCUUAUAACAAAAAUAAAAAAUAUCACAUUAUAACCUCCUAAAUUCACAUAUUUUGGUUUAAAAUUCUUGAACGUAAUAGUUAUCCUAAAACAUAAGGAAAUUUUAAUUUUAAAAAAAUACUAAUAUUAAUAUUUUAAAAUCGUUUGAUAUAUAUUUUCUUAAAAGUCAAGCCUAUUAUACCUAAUCUUUUGUGUGAGAUUUUCAAAGGCCCGAUUUAGUUCAAUAUAAAUAUGUUUGAAUCCAAGUAUUCUUUUUAGACUUCUUGGGUAAAUUAUAUUAAUUGCAUCUAAACUUUGAUUAAAAUUACAUUUUAAUCACUCAACUUUUAAAAGUUACAUAAUUAUCACUAAACUUAUCAAAAUGUUACAUUUUGUUCACUCAUUCGUUAAUAUGGCAUGUUAAUUUAAAAGGUUAAUAACCAAUUUAGCCCCUAAAAUAUAACUAUAAAAUAUCAAUUUGAUACUUUUAAAAUUUUUCUUAAUAAUAUUUCUAAAAAAUUUAAAGGUUAAAUAACAAAUUUAGACCUUAACACUUUACACAUUCUGUCAAUUUGUUCCUAAUUCUAAAAAAUUCAACAACUCUAACCCUCAAUAUUUGUGGAUUUUGUCAAUUUAGUCCAAAUUCAAAAAAAUAUAAUGUUAAAAACUUGAAAAUAUAUAAAAUUUAUUAUAAAAAGACAUAAAAAUAUAAAAUAUUAAAAAAUAAGAUUAAAUAAAGACUUAAAUAUUAAUUUGGUAGAGGAAUUCAAAUCAAUAUUUCUUGAAUUUUAACAAAAUCUUUUAGGGAUUCAACAAAUUUUAACCCUCAAUUUCUCUUGAAUUUUUUGAACCAAUAUUUCCAUUUUUUUCUUUAAACCCAACGAGCUAAACAAGACCUUUGAAUUAACUUUUUAAACUAAUCACUACCAAAUCCAAUCAACACCAUGAUCAAACAGUUGGUUGAGGGAUUCAAAUUGGAAAGCCUUUACUUAUAUAAACAUCUCUAGCUCUAUUUCAACAGCAAAGUGUAGGGUUGUGAGGGAUUCAAAUGCUUAAGUCUAAGUGAAGCUUCACUGAUCAAUUUUUCCUCAUUAAAAGAAAACAUAAAACUAAGUUUGGAUGUAUCUGUAAAAAAAAAACGGACUUUGGGUGUGGGUUUAAUGGUGAGUGCGAUGAUGAAGUGAUGAUGGAGUUUGGGUCUAGUAAAUUUGGCUAUGGAUUUGGUAUGGUAUUUGAUAUUGUGAGGUUUAGGCAAGAGUAUGAGAACAAUAGGAAUUUUGAAGAUGAACAGGAAAGGAGAUAAAGGGAAGAAUAUUGUUUUUCAAAGUUUCUCUCUUUUGUUUGGUUGACUAGAAAAUCUGGUAAUAGGAAAGAAAAUUUUGAACUUUUUCUCUUGUAGUUUUUUAAUCGCGGUGUUAUGUAGUUGCAUAUGUCAAAUGUAGGAGCGUUUUGUGGGUUUCUAAUGAUUUUGAAUUAUAACUAAGAAAAUUUUACUUAUUUCGAUUAUGGGUUUUGAUUGACUUUUUUUUGAAUGUUUUAUAUUUUUUAAUAUUUUAUUUUUUUUUGAAUUUUUAGAAUUUGGACUAAAUUGACAAAAUGUGCAAACAUUAAGGGUUAAAUUUGUUGAAUUUUUUAGAAUUAGGACCAAAUGAAAAUUAAGUCUUUAUAUAAAGUUAUAUAUAUUUUUAUGUCUUUUUAUAAUAAAUUAAAUAUUUUCAAGUUUUUAAAAUUAUAGUUUUUUUUUAUUUUUUGAAUUUGGACUAAAUUGAAAAAAUGUGCAAACUUUGAGGCUUAAAUUUGUUAAAUUUUUCUAGAAUUAGGACAAACUUUAUAGAAUGUGUAAAAUGUUAAGGGUUAAAUUCAUUAUUAUACAAAUCGAAAGACUGCCAUGUCAGUAUUCCGUUCAGUGACUAAGGUAUUUUAAUAGUAGAGUGACUGAAAAUGACAAUUAAUCUAAUGGAAGUAACUAAAUUAAUGAAAAAAAAUAAUUUGAUGACCAAAAUAGGAACGCAUUAAAACUUGGGUGACUAUCUGAGUAGUUUACCCUUUAAAUUUUAUAGAAUUAUUAAAAAUUUAAAAGUAUGAAAUUAAUAGUUUAAGGGUUAAAUUGGUUAUUAUCUAUUUACAUUAAUGGAAAUUAAUGAAAGAGUGACCAAAAUAUAAUAUUUUAAUAACUUGAAUGAAUGAAAUAUAAAUAUAAAUUUAGUGAAAGUAAGAAUUAUUUGGAGAGAAAAUAGGGGAAGGUAUGUUAGUAAUGUGUAGGGACAGGUGCAUGGGAAAGAGAAGAAAGAGAAGAUGCCUAAGAAAAUAAUAAAAUCAUUGAAUUAUGCAAAUAUAUUUAAGAUGGGAUAAAUAUGUAUCCUUAUAUUGUAAAAAGAGAUAUUAUUUAAGAUGCAAAUGAUGCCAAGAUUUUGUUCUAAUUUGUAGGGUCUGCAAUAUUAUUACUUCUCCUAUCAUACACCAUGUUGAGUAUUUUAAGUCUAAAACACAUAAAUUGUAACUGGUUGGCAAGCAGGAUAAUAAUAAGUUAGCUAGUGAGUGUAAGUGAAUUAUGGGCUAAAGAAUUAAGUCAUGGUGGCUGUGAUGCGGUGAAAUCUUUUAUCUUACUUAAUAGUAAUUAAUUUCAUUACCAUCUUUAUUUUUAACUUUACCACCCUCCAAAAGCACACUAAUUUACCUUUGUAGUAGCCAUGCUCAUAUUCACCUUCCUUAUAUAAGUAUUGAGAAUUCCAAGUUAAAAUUUUAUUGUUUGAGUUGAGUAUUUUUCCAAUGAAAAAUUAGAGUUAAAAGGUAAUUAUUUAAUUCGGUAUUUAUAAUAAAAAAAUUUAAUUGAAACUAUUAAUAUAGUUGUAAUUUCAAAAAUAAAAAUCAAUCCAUUAAAUUUAUUGUGUUUGUUGAGAAAUUACUUGACAUAAAUGGAAGUCCUAGUAAUAAAAUCAUGUAAUAAGAUUGAAAAGCUUUGAUAAAUCGAAUGUACCAGAAGGGGAUUGAUAAUUAAAAUUUUAUUUUCUAAGGUUGAAACACCUCAAAAUGGAUGGAAAAGUUUGUUUUUUUAACUUUCCUGACAUGACAUACAUGUGGAUUACUGUGUGAAUGACACGCCAACAUUAAAACUAUUAAAUAUAUAUAAUAUAAAAAAUAUUUAGAAAUUUUUAAAAAAAUUAAUUAAAGACAAAAUUUGGUGAGUCGUUUUAAUUUGUUAUUUGCUUCUUCUUUUUUUCUCUCAUUAAAUUCUCGUUGUUGUUAGACUUAUUUGUUUGAACACAUGGACAAUAGAGAUAUAAGUGACUACAAAAUUAAUUCUUGAACUACACUCAAUAUCACUCCACUUAAUAGAACAAGUCAUUGAUGCUUCGAGAGGAACAAAGAAUAGGUCUACUUCAAUAUAUUUUUUGAGCGCAUAAACAGAGAAGUUUCCUAUUUCUUUGCUUACUUUUGGAACAUAGAGGACAAUGUUCGAUUAAAGUGUGAGAGAAUCGAGUUAAUUUAGUUUGCAUGAUUUUUUUUGCAUAUUUUAUUUCUUCGAUUUUUAUGUGAUGCAUGCAAUUUGCAUGAAAUCUUAACUUGAUGAGAUGUUGAAUUAUUUUUAUAUGCCUUUGAGAUUUGGAAACUUGUCGUAAUGAAUAUAUUUGAAACCUAAAUGUUGAUUUUAUAUAGAAUUUGCAACAUUGAUUGAUGUUUUUAGGAUGUUUGUUAGAACAAUAGAUGCUCCAUAUGGUCUUAAUUCAUUGUUAUUUUCUAUUGACACGUUUUUUAUAAUCGAAUUUAGAAUUUUCAAGAGAAUUAUAUGGAUUGAAACAUGCUUGCAAAGAAUGAUCUAGGUGAAUUUUUGAUAUGUUUCAAGCUUGAGUAUUGGAUUGACUUUUCAUGGAUGUGCUUAAUUGGAUAAUUUUGAUAAUAAGCAUGAGAAUUGAUUACUUUGCUAUCUACUUCAUGAGCUUAAAAAAGAACUAGUGACCCGACUGAAUAACCAGAGAUAGGUGCUUGAUUGUCAUUUACCUUCAUGUCAAAAGGUUUGGUGUUUCUUAGUAUACUUUGUUGAUGUAGAUAUGAGUAAAGUCGAAGACUAUUUAGAUUCAAUUAACUAGGUAAUUUAGGUUAGGUGCUUGGGUUGUCAUUUGCACUCGCGUUCAAAGGUAAUCAUCCUAAAUUCAAAAACAAAAAAAAAAAAGAAGAAGAAGAGAGAGAUAAGAAAAGAAAUUUGAGAUUAAUUAUAUUAUUACUUGAAUUAUUCUUCUAUCUCAUGCUAAUAAAAAAAUUUCUAUGAUGAAGUUGAAAGAAAAGAAAUUCGAUACUUUAUGCUCAAUUGAAAUUGUGGAUUCUGGAAACCUAAUGACUUUUGAAAGCAUGAUGAAGUUUGAAAAUAUUUUCUUGAUUUUUCUAAUAUCUCUUAUACAUGACAUAUUAUUAGGGAAGAUAACCACACACGAGCAUGAAGGUCUAUUUUUUUCUAAUUCUUCCUAAUUGUAUAAAUUAUUGUUAUUGCUAUAUUUUGUUUAGCAUAUAGAAUUUUGAAUGUGCUCAUGAAAGCAUGUUUGCUUGUUCCAUUAGUAUAUAACGAUAUUUUUAAUUGUUAAUUUAAGUUGAGUAUUUUCUUAGGUCACAUAUGCAUUUGUUGUAACAACCCAUUUUUUAGUGGUACCAGAAACAACAGUUUCAAAACCCCGUAUUCCGAUGAUCGAGUUAGUAAAUAUUAUUUAAUAAUAUUUAUGAGUCUAUUAUAAUGUUUUAUUGAAUUUUGAUAUGAUAAUUUUGAUAAUUGGACAGUUAGUCAAGGUACAAAUGGUGUGUAUCGAAAGUCAGUGAUUUAAAAAAAUGAGGUAUCAGAGCCUUUUUCCAUAAACCCAACUCAUAAAUAUUAUUAUUGAAUAUUUAUGAAGUUAUUAUAUAAGUAGAUUGAAGUUUGGUCUGGCAAUUUUGGCAUUUAGUUAGCUAAUUAAGGAAAAAUGACUAAAUCGUAAAAAAUGCAAAAAUUAAUCACUAUUAGUUUAUAUACUAAAGGAUUAUAAAUUUAUAGUUGGAGGGUAUAUGAUGCAAUUAGCCCAUAUUAAUUAUAGUGGAGGGUAUAAUGCAUGAUUCAUUAUCAUAUUAUAUGUUAAAAUUAAUAUAAAAAUAAGAUUAAAAUAAGUUAAAACAUAAAAAAAGAGAGUAAAAGAUGGCCAUUUUCACUUCAUCUCUUUCAUUCUCACCACCGAAUGGAAGCCAUGAAUUCAUUUAAGCUCUCAUCUUUGCAAGGUGAGUGAGUUUUAAUCCAUUUUUAGUAAAUUUUAUAUUUUUUAGAUCAUUACAAUUAGGUCCAGUUAACUCGUAUUUUUGUUUUUAAAAGUGUUAAAGAUUUAAAAAGUUUUCAUUGAUUUUGUUUGAAGUUUUUGAAUGUUUAUUGUAUAUUUUGAAGCUUAGAAAUUAAUUAGGAUUAAUUUAUUAAAUAAAUUUUGUUAGUUUUGAGUUAGGGACUAAAUUGUGAAUAUAUUGAAAUUGGUAUGAAUUUUUGUAAAUUUUGAUAAUAGGAGGUUGUAUAUGAACAUAAUUGAAGUGGGCUUAAAAUUUGAAGUUCAAUUUUGGAAGAUAUAAUAAGUUUGAUUUUAGGGGAUAAAUUGAAUAAAAUGUAAAAUUUUAGGGCAUAUUUGAAAAAUGAAAUUUAAUUAUUAUACGAUACAACAGGUUAUUUUGAGAUGUUUGAAAUUGAUAAAUUAAAUUACAUUAUAUUAUAGAUUGAGAUUUGAACUAUUCAAUAGAUAAGCACGAAAAAGGAAAAAUUGUGAAUUAGUCCUCAAAGUCGUGUUUGUGGCUGUUUUGGUUAGGUAAGUUCAUAUGAGACUUACUUUCUUAAUUCAUAAUAUGUUUAUAUUAUAUUGUUUUACUUAUAGUUUGAAUUGUUAUGUAAUUAUUGUCUUUUGGCAUCAAAUGGACUAAAUCGUAAAAUAUAAAUUAAAUGGCAAAUAUGGAUAAAUACAUGACAUCGAAUGAAUGUGACAUUGCUAUAUGAUUGGAGAGUAUGUUUAUAUUGAUGUUACAAGGUUAAAAUUGUAACCGAAUUUCUAUUUGAAAAGUGAAAAGUGUGUAUAUGGCUAUUGAGAUCGUAAUGAACUGUAUAUGGUAAAAAUGCCCGAGUGAACGUAUUAAAGGAUAGGAUACAAUUGGCAUGGCAAUAAGGUUAUUGCAUGUUGUAUGGGAUACAUGUGUUGAUAUAGAGAUAUUACUGAUUAUAACGGACUGUAGCAUUUGUUGUGGAUUACCGAGUUAUACUGGUGUGGCGGAGGAAUGUAUUGAUACUGAUUAUGUAAUGCACGGGCUUUGCAUUUAGGUGUUCUAGUGUGUUGUAGUUUAAGCUCUUACAAGCAUUCUGGUGUGGUGUAGCUACCUGUGUAUCUGAGCUAUUUAUUAUAGUUCAUCGGGCUACUAGAAUAAUAAAAAAGAGAAAUGACUAUGAAAUAAUACGAGUCACACACUCAAUUGGUUUUAUGAUGAAGAAAUGAUAAUAAUGGUAAAAUAUUGAAUAAUAUAUUACAUGUUAUAAGGCUAUAUUAAACUUUUAUACGUUGAACUAAUCUUAAUAUUGUAAAAUACGAUGUUAAGCUAAAUUGUACCAAGUUAUGAGAUUGCUAUGUUUAUAAAUAAGCAAAGUUGAAUGGCAUGAUUGUACUUGCAUAUGAAUUGGACAAUAUGAUCUUAUUUUAUAAAUAAACUAACCUUGUGUGAAUUUGUGAAGUUGUAUAUGUAUGCAUAAGGAUGCUAAAGGAGUGUCAUAUUUUGUACAAUUGUGUUUCAAAUUACUUUAACUAGUUGAAAUGGAAAGGUAUGUUUAGUUAUUUUCAUAUGGACUUACUAAGCAUUUGAUAUGUUUACCUUGUUGUUUCCUUUCUCUUGUAGAUCGCUAACCUGCAGAACAUGUUAGGCAGAUCAUCAAGAAGCUCACACUAUCUCGGUAUUGAUUCGGUAGUCUUUUGAUCGUUCAAAGCUUGGUUUUGUGGCAUGUGUAUAGGUGUACUUAUAUAUGUUUACCUUGGUUGCAUAGUUUGGUUUGCAUUUGGAUAAUAUUUGAAUUAUGGUAUAUGUUGAUGUGGAAUGGUUUGAAAGUAUGAAAGUAUAGACAAAGUUUGAAUUAGUGAUUUUGGUAUGUUCUGGUGCCUAUUGAGGCAUAUUGGUUAGCUGAUUGGAAAAUACCAAAUUGUUGAAAUGUUGAAUUAGUUUUUUUAAAAGGGAGAUAUAUGAUAUUUUGGCAUGUAUAAAGAGUUAUAAAUGCAUAUAGGUUGAAUGUUAAACAAAAACUUCUCUUGAAUGUAAAUGGUCUUGAUCCAUAUGAAAUUAAUCAUUUACUUUUAAUAUGUUUAAGGACAUGUUCACAUAUAUAUGUGUGUGUGUGUGCGCGCAUGUGCGUGUGUAUGUAUGUGUUUUGUUGGGUGGAAGUGGAUGUUGGAUUGAUGAUGGAAUGAAAUGUAUAUAUAUGUUGAAUGGGGCAUAGUAUGCACUUAGCCCUUGAUAGGUGCAUGUAUUCAUUUGAAUUUUGGAAAGUGUAUGCUUUGCAAUUGAUGAAAAUUGUAUGUGAGUAUAGAUGUCCAUAAUGAAAUGCUUUGGACAACUUGUUUGGUGCUCAUUGGUUAGUAAGGAUGAAUAUAUAUAUUAAACUUAUGCUUAACACUUUGGUAUAGCAUGUAUAGUCGAGUGUGUAUGUUAAAGUAUCAUUGAAGGAAUGUGUUUGAAUGGUUGAAUUAUGUUUGUUUCGGAUGUAUUAAAUAAGUUCAUGUAGUUGUUGUGUGUGUUUGUAUGCAUUCUUAAUGUGGUAGUUGAUUUGGGUAUGAAAUGAACUAUUAAACUUAUAAUUUUGACCAUCUAGGUAAAAGUAUCGAUACUAGAUACCAAAGUAUCGAUAUUUCACCAAAAUGAACAGUGUUUUAAAAAUGGCAUAAUGCCAAAACAGUAUCGAUACUAAUUUUUGGUAUCGAUACAUUUGAUAAAAAUACCAAUACUUGUUCCCUUUGUAUCAAUACCUAGUUUCAAAUAUUGAAAAUUUUAGAUUGGUCCUUAAUCAUGCUUAAAUCUAUUAAACUAUGUUUGUAUGCUCAAAUUAGCCUCUGUUUGGUUCAUAACUUCUAUUAUGUAUGUAUUUAGAACAACUUGAUGAUUUAAAUUGAAUUCAAUGUUAUGAUUUGCAUGUGAAUGUUUCAAUAACUGUAGUAGCAUCUGAAACUUGAGUCCGGUGAUUGGACCGGGUGAGAGAUGUUACAUUUGAAUUUUCAUUCGCAUUAGUUUCAUGCUUGAAGAUAAGCAUGGUUCAAGUGUGGGGGAAUUUAAUAAGUGCAUAAUUUCCUAAUUGUUUGUGAUAUUUAUCUCAUCGAAUUAUGCUAUUUAUGUUCUUAAUUAUAUUAAUUAUAUUAUAUUUAUUAUCAAUUUAGGGAAUAAUUGAAGAAAAAUGAGCUUAAAGUUUAUUUUUUGGUAGUUUUUGUGGUUUGGAUUUUCAACAUAGUGUAGUUUUAGUAUUUGGGCCAUAUCUUGAGCUACAAACCUCCAUUUUUUGGGUCCAUAAUAUAAUGAUUUGAAUAGAAUUGAAAUAUCUAGCUAAAGUUAUUUCAUGAUUCUAGCAAAAAAAAUGUCAAGAAGGCACCUAAAAAUAGCCUAAAGUUUGACGCGAAGAAAAAUUCUAGUUUAUGUAAUCAAGGGCACUUUUGUGUUUUCUCCAUUAUAUUAUUUUUCCCUUAUAAAUAGAUAUUAUUAGGUUGAAAGAGGGGGAUAAUGGUUCUUAGUUUUUAUCUUGGUUUUGUGUUUUAUUUUUUUUAUGAGUUUUUAAACCUUCUUUUCUAGUCUAAGGUUAUUGAAGCUUGAUUCUUUAAAAUUUGUGAGAUCUAAUAAUUACUCUUAAUUUUUUAUUUGUUAUUUAAUAUUUGCAUGUAUUAUAGAUUAAUUACAGUUGUUCAGGUUUGUUAAAUAUUGAGUCGGUAUUUUAUAACUUAGAAUAAUUGUUUUCUUAAUUAGAUAAUUAGUCGAUCGAUUGAUUUCUAUUAUUUGUGACAACUGCAUGAUUAUUGGUAUAGUGUUGGCAUGCGAUCUAACUUAAAUAAACUCUGGUUGUGAAUUUGUUAGUUAGAAUUGAGGAUUUCAUUCUCAAGGCUAUUGAUAAAUUAAAUUCCUAAGCCCAAGAAACAAUAACAAGCAAUAAAAAAACUAAUGACAAUUUAAAGAAUGAGUUGAUAAAAAAUUGUGAAAUCUAUUUUUAUUAAAGCAGUUAAAUUAAAAGUUUUUAUAUUCUCUUUCUCUUCUUUUGUUCUUUUUUCCCCUCUUGUUUCUUUCAUGAAUAACUUGAGCUGUCAUUGUCAUUCAACUGAUGUACAGCCUUCGAUUAGUCUUAUCUAACUGUUUUGAUCAAGAUCAAUAGUUGUCCCAUCAAGUUUGUUGAGCCUACGAUCCUUUGUUUCACGAUCGUCAAGUUAGUCCAUUUCCUCGAUUGUCACCAUUUCUCCAAUGUUGACAUUUUUUAGAAUUGAAAAGGUACAAGCCCAAGAAAUUUGAUGGAAAAGGUGUUAGGGCAAUGUUUCAAAGUGACCCAUACAUUUCCCUUAUUUCCUUGACUUGAAAACUCUGUGCUAGAGUUUAAGAAAUUUUCCCUUUUUUGUGUGUGAAAAUUCCAAACACAUGUAUCUUUUCUCAGGGCUUGAGCAAUUGUAUUUCUUUUUUUUAGGAUCCCUAAUGAGGUCUUUCUCACUAUCAAAUACAGAUGAUGUUUGUUUGUAUAUGUUUGUUAGGGUUUAGAAAUUCAUUUUAGUGUUUUAUGAUUUUUUUUUGGGUUUAAUGUUUUAUGAAAAUUUUGUUUUAGUUUAGAUAAUUUUAUUAAUAAAUGAUUAAUAAAUAAUGUCAUGAAAAAUAAUUUUUCAUUUGAAAUUUGAUCUCAUUGAUUGCAAAUCUCAAUGGAAAAUUUAAAUGUUUAAACAUAAAUUUUUUGAUUUUUCUUCCUUAGUUAAUUAAGGAUGAACAUGAACAACAAAGAAUAGACAAUGGAGAGAAAUUAAAGGAAAUUCAGGGGAAAAAGAAAGAAAACGAGGAUUGGAGAAAAAAAAAUGAAAGAGAAAGGAAAAAAUUGGGUUUUCAUUUUUUAAUUAUUUUUAAAAAAAAUAUUAUUAGUUAUGUUAAAUUAAGUAUAUUUUAUAUGAUAUUUAAAGGUUUAUUAUUAUUUUAUUUUUUUACCUUUAAAAUAAAAAUAAUAUAAUUAAGGUUUAUUAUUAUUUUAUUUAUUUUUAGGUCCCUUGACUUGACCCUUUUCUUACAAACACUUGCACAUGGCAUCUUACUAUUAGUCCAUGUGUCCUGACAAGUCAUAAAUUAACACCAUUAGUUAGGGUAGAGGUGCUCGUGAGCUGGGCCUAAACAUGAUAUUAACAUAUUUUAUGAUUGCCCAAGUCUGGCCCAACUCAAAAUAUAAGCUUAAAAUUUUGUCAAAACUCGCCCAUAUUUUCUAAAAACUAAUCUAAACCCAUUUAGGCCAGCCAUAUUAUUAUUUUUAAAUUUUUAAAAAAUAUUUAUAUUAUAUUAUUUUAAUAUUUAAUAAUUUUAUACAUUUUUUAUUUAUUGAAAUUUUUUUAUAUAGUUAUCUUAACAUUAUUUUAAUGUUUACAUUAGAAUAAUAUUAUAUAUUUAGUAUAGAUUUAUUUUUUUAAUAUGUUCUAAAUUACAUAAUAUAUAAAAAACAUAAGAUAAAAUAUUAUAAACUUAAAAAUGGACCAGGCUUGGGCCUUAAAUGUUUAAGAUAGAGUCUGACCUAUAUUUUAAACGAGCUUAAUUUUUUUUUGUCCAAGUCUAUUUUUUGAGCCUAAUAUUUUUACCUAAAUCCUCUCAAAUUUUGGGCUGACCUUUGCACGUCUAAGUCAGAGGUUCUAUAUUGAUAAACAAUAGAAAAUUAUAGGUAUCAAAAUAGACAUUUUAAAAGUAAAAUUACCACAUUAAAAGAUUUGAUAAAGUUUAGGUACCAAAUCUGACAUUAAGCGUACCGGCAAUUAUCCUUAUUGUAGGCUGUAGCCAAGACCCAAUACAUCUGACCGCGCUGAAUCACACAACAAACAAAGGAUAACUCUUCUUACUAAUAAACCCUAGCAAAUUUGUCGUGAUUGGUGUAUAAAUCAUCUUUCUUAUUCGCUUAGCGGCUCUUUCGGAGAGAGAAGGAAGCACGUUUAAGGUAAAGACGAUGGUGUCGGGAUCAGGGAUAUGCGCAAAGAAAGUGGUGGUGGAUGCCCGCCACCACAUGCUGGGACGGUUGGCUUCGAUCGUGGCCAAGGAGCUGCUCAACGGCCAAAAGGUUGUCGUUGUCAGAUGCGAGGAAAUCUGCAUGUCGGGCGGACUCGUUCGCCAGAAGAUGAAGUACAUGCGGUUCCUUCGCAAACGUAUGAACACCAAGCCUUCUCAUGGUCCCAUCCAUUUCCGUGCCCCCGCCAAGAUCUUCUGGCGCACCGUUCGUGGGCCAGUCUUUAAUUGUCUCAGUCUAAUCUACAUUAUAUACAUAUUUUUUUUUAUUUUGGGUCUGAUUUUGUAAAAUGAGGAGCUCAAGUGAAAUGGGUUUGUCGAAAUUUAUGUUUUGUUUAUAUCUUCGAAGCAAUGAGGCUAAACCCAAUAGUAAAUUGCUUGCAUUUUGAGCAUUAGUUAGAAGAAUGUUUGAGUUUGAUGAGAUUUAAGGUUAAUGAAUUUUGUAGAAUGCUACCCCAUAAGACUAAGCGUGGAGCGGCUGCCCUCGCUCGUUUGAAGGCUUAUGAGGGUAUUCCUGCCCCAUUUGACAAGAUUAAGAGGAUGGUCAUCCCUGAUGCACUUAAGUAAGUUUAUGUUUUACACUCUCUUUGAUUUUUAUUGCUAUUGCUAUUGCUAUUGCAAUUCCCGUGAUUCUGUUCUAAUCUUUUCUUAUAACUUUUGAUUAGGGUCUUGAGGCUUCAGAAAGGGCACAAGCAUUGCUUGUUGGGCCGCUUGUCAUCAGAGGUUGGAUGGAACCACUACGACACCAUCAGGGUGAGUUUAUCUUAUCAUUCACUGCUUUGCCCUUGACUGUCCUUUAAUCAAUCUAUGCCCUUAUUUUUUGUGAUAAGCACCUUUUGGAACUAUUUGGGGGGGGUUUAACUGUGGCUUAAGUUGUUUAUUUAACUUUAUAUUUGCUUGUUUAGUUGUUGAGGAAAAACAUCCAUCAACUUGGGCAUGAAUGUUCUUUUUUCUUAGUGCUUUUAGGAACUACGAUAAUGUGAAACAACUGCAGAGGAAUUAGUACCUUCUUAGGAUAGGAUGUUAUCGACUAAGAGCUGUAUGAAUUUUCUUAGGCACCAAGGAAAAAGAUCAUGCGCAUAUUGUUAUACAUUUUGUCAUUUUAGUGGGUCUAAUUGGGCUUUGGUUUUAUCAUCCUUCUGAUAUGUAAGUCUUGCGAGUACUGGUAUCAAUGCACAAACAACACUAGGCUAUCUGGUGCAUAAUGAAUUGUCAAUAUAUAUCUAAUGGGAAAUGCCCCCAGUAUUAUACUAAGGGUUAUUUCUUGAAAUUAUAAAAUUGUGUUUAGAUUAUGUUUCUACUGUCUAAUAAUAAGAUUUGACUUCAGGAGCUGGAGAAGAAGAGGAAGGAGAGGGCUCAGGUUGCAUAUGAGAGGAAGAAGCAGCUGAACAAGCUUAGGGUAAAGGCUGAGAAGACGGCUGAGGAGAAACUUGGUUCACAACUAGACGUGCUUGACCCUGUUAAGUACUGAAUUUGUAGUGGAUAGCUAGUUUUUUCUUACAAUUUUGUUCAAGUUCUCUCUGUAUGGGAUUUGGUUUCACUGUUUUAUUCUGUACGGGAUUGUUGAAUUUUGACAGUAAUCCUCUCAAUAUAUUUCACAUAUAUUCUAUCUCCAAUGAGUGCAUUAAAUUCCUAUUAUUUAGAUUGCUAGAAAACAUAUGUUCUAUCUCCAAUGGCUACAAAACAUGAAAGAGGAGAUUAGACAGUGGCCCGAAGUUGAAAGUUUGUGAUUGUUUUAUUAGAAAGACAAUCUUCUGGGUUCGAUUUCCACAAAUCCUUGUACUUGGACUAGGUUUGGUUGGACGGUAGCUGAUCAACAUUGUUGAUAUGUUUGCUUUGCUUUACAAAAAGAAAAAAAAAAAAAAAGAGUGGGUCGAAAAUACAAAGUAGGUAUUAUCGUUAGUCAAUUUUUUUUAUUUUAGUCAUCUGACUUUAAUAAGUCUUCAUUUUAGUCACUCCCGUUAAUUCAAUAUUGUUGUACACUCAUUUAAUCACCCUAAAAUUUUAAUAAGUUUUCAUUUUGCUCACUCAUUUAUAUUUUAGAAUUUUAUUUAUUUCUUCAAAAAAAAAAGCCUGAGAUUUUAUAGGAAAUUUGAGCUAUUUAGUUGUGGAGACUGAACCCAUGUUUUCCUUGUAACUCAACUCGUUGUAAAAAUCCAACUUUUCUUUAUUAUGUAACCCGGUUUUUCCCUUUUAACUAGAAAGACAAUUUAAAAAUUAAUUCCAAAAAAUAUCGAAAAUUAAAAAGAUAAAAUGUUUCCAUUUUGCCCAGAAAAUUCAAUAUAAAAUAUCAUGUUUUCCCUUUUAUGGGAGAAAACUAAAAUUAAUUUUUAAAAAAUAAAAUAAAUUAAAAAGAUAAAUUAGUUUUUGGAUAAUUAUUCGGUACAAUGGAGUAAAAAACUCCACAAACAUAUAUAAGAUGAUACCAAGUGUCUUUUUUAAUUAUUUAAUUAUUAUUUUAUUAUGAGAAAAUAUUCGGCACACAACCAAUCGAGUUUUUAGACUCCAUUAACAAUAUAUAAGAUAAUAAUUCAUAGUUUUUUCCAGUAAAAAUCCAAAAUUUUCCUAUAAAAACUCAGAAAAUCCCAAGUUUUCCUUUUUAUUGGAAAAUAAUUCAAAUUAAUUAUAAAAAAAGAAAAAAACAAAUUACAUUUUAAAAAGAUAAAAUGAAAACUUAUUAAAAUUGGGCUACUAAAAUGACUACAAUAACAUUGAGUGACCAACAAUGUAAAUGAAAAAGAAAACCGUCGACAGCAGGGUCGAACCUGCGCGGGCAGUGCCCAACAGACUUCAAGUCUGUCUCCUUAACCACUCGGGCAUAUCGACCUUGAUUAGGUGUGGCUUCAUUUAAAAUUUACUUAAUCAUAAGUUCCAACCCUAAAGAGAGGAGUGUAGAUAACUGCCAAAAUAAAAUUUGUGUUGUCACCGGUUGGGCAGAGCAGAAAGGGUAGGUUGAUUUACAUACACCUUUGGGAGUUGGCCGACAAGACGAAAUAAAAAUGGAAACGGGAGAAGAUGAAACCUUUACUAAUAAUAUAAUAUAGUAUGACCAGAUGGAAAAUGUCAACAACAUCUUCUAAUGUUUGAAUUAAAUAAAAUGUAAAAAAAUCGAUUAAUACUAUCCAAUUAAGCUUUUCUCUUAAUUAAGUUGACCUUUAAAAUAAAUUGAUAGCUAAUUAGAUACUGACAAGUGAUAACUUUUGGUUUAAUCUAAUAAUUUUCUUUAAAAAAUUAAAAAUAAAAAGUUAUAAAAAAAAGAAAAAGUUAUAAAAUAUAAGAAAAAUUACAAAAAUAUUAAAACUGAUAUAAACUUAUUAAAAUCAUAAAAACUUAUAAAAAUUAUAAAAUUAAUAAAACUUAAUAGAAAAAAAUUAAAAAAUUAAAAUUGAUAUAAACUUAUAAAAAUUAUAAAAAAUUAUAAAAACUUGAACUGAACUGGUUAGUUCGAAAUCGGCAAGGAUAUUGGCCAAGGAAAGUCAUUAGACUAGUUGACUUGGGAACUGAACGGUUGAAUCAAUUUUUUUUAAUAGUUUUAUCAAACCAAAAUAUUAUUAUCUAAUUAUUAAUUUAUGUCAAAAUAAAAUAUUCUAAUCAAGAUUUUUAGAAUCGGACAGGUGGUCGAAUCAGUCAGACCAUCGAUUUGUCUAUUCGACUGAUCAAUUCAGUUCAAUUAAAUAAAACAUUAAAAAUAAAAAAAAAUUAGUUCAAUUGUCCUAUUCUCAAAUCAACUAAUCUAAUGGCUUUAUCCUAACUGAUACCCUUGUCGAUUUCAGUCUAAUCAUUUCAACCAAUUGAUCUAAUCCAGUUCAAAUUUUUAUGAUUUUUUUAUAAAUUUUAUAAGUUUAUAUAAAUUUUAAAUUUUUUUAUGAUUUUUAUAGAAUUUUAAUAAGCUUUUAUAAUGUUUUAAAUAUGUUUUUAUUAAUUUUAUGAUUUUUUUAUAAUUUAUUAAAAUUUAUUAUAUUUUUAUAUUUUUAUAUCAAUUUUAAUAUUUUUUUAAUAUUUAAUAUUUUUAUAUUUUUAAUAAAUUUCUUUUAUGAUUUUUAUCUUUUCUUUAUGAGAAAAAUAUUAAAUUAAAUUGAAAGUUGUCACGUGUCACUAUUUUUUUUUUUAUAAUUUUAUUUUAUUUUACGUUUUUAUGAAUUUUGUAAGAUGUAAGUCGAAAGAAAAAAGAAAGGAAGAAAGAGGGUAAAGUGAUAUCAAUUAGUUUACAAGGAGAUGAAUUUGGUUUCUAACCAAAAAGGGAAAGUAAAAGGCAUUUUCCUCUACAUGGCUUAAUCUAAAAGUAAAUUAGAACUUCAAACAUUUCAUCAUAGCUGCUUCAAAUCUAAUCUUUUUUUAUCAAUCACACAGUAUACUCAAAAAAAAAAAAAAAAAAAAAAGAGUUUCUAAAUGCAUGGCAUUGGUGCAUUUUGUUUUAGGUUCCUCCAAACCAAUAUUUGAGUUUUUGGGUUAUGAAAGUAAAAAAGCAGGUUGGUUUUCUUUAAGAAGAAGAUACAUUUGUGGGAGUGGGAAAUUAAUUUGCAAGCAAAGGUGAUAAUUGCACUCAGGCGGGUCCGCUAACCAUCCUUUGCAUUACAUUUCCACCUAUUUCAAUUUAAUUCCACAUUCACUACACAAUAUGUAUGUGGCAUCUUCUGUAACUCUUUUGUUCCCCCCUCUCCUUUCAAUGCAAUGCCCAAAACGAAAUUAUACGAAAAGCCAAGAAGAUAUAACAUGAUUCAUGGUUUCCACUUCCAGUUGAAAUUUUAACGACUUUGGUCCACAAGGAAAAAAGAGAGAGAGGAAGCAGCUGCCAUUUUUUUCCCUUGCUCUUUCAGCUGCUUUGCUUUCAACUACUGCUACUGUCAGUGGCGUUGGAGUGCCUAUAUAUUAUAUACCAUACCAAGAAAUCAUCACCAAACCAGAACCAUAAUAAUGAAUGCCAGUGUUGCCACCCCCUUUAUCAUUAUCACCUGUCUCUUUAAUCCCCUCCAUUACUUGCAUGCCUUAACUUUCUUUCUGAGACAAAAUUCAAUCAUUACCCUUUAAUCCCAUUCCAUUAACCUUCCAUUAAGGGUUUAAGGGACUAAGAAAUUUCCUUCAUUUCAGGACGCUAGUGGAUUCUAUGGCCCUGAAGCUCUUCUGGGUCAGAUUCACGUUGUUCUUCGGCUUUUGGAUUGUUGCUUUCUGUGAUCAAGAUGGUAUGCAUAAUUUGUUUCGAUUUUUGGAUUCUUUCUCUCAUUAUAAUGGCCUGUUUUUGCUACAUUUGCUUUAGUUCUUAAUUUGCAACAUCAUUUUCUUGUUGCUUGUAAAGCUCUGACCUUCAUAUCACCAUGGAACAGCAUGAUCUAACAAAAUGUUAGAAACAGAAUGCUGAAGCUUUGAAUUUGUUGGAUUUACAUUUGAUUUUCUGUGAGACAGGUUUCUUGAGCUUAUCUUGUGGUGGAGCAAAGAGUUAUGUAGAUUCAUCUAAGAUAAAAUGGGUGUCAGAUGAUACAUUCAUAACCACAGGCAACACAACUACCGUUGAGUAUGCUGAAGGUACCUCCUCCUCGUCCAGCAUUGCACUUCGAUUUUUCCCGGAACCUCGAGGCCGCAAUUGCUAUAGGUUACCGGUAGAGAAUAUGUCCUCCAUUGUUCUUGUGAGGGCUCAAUUUGUGUAUAACAACUACGAUGGACUUGAGAAACCUCCAGCUUUCUCGGUGUCUCUUGGCAGAGCUAUAGUUAACACAGUGAACCUAACCCACAAAGAUCCAUGGAUCGACGAGUUCUUAUGGCCAGUGAGUAAGGAUACACUCUCAUUUUGCUUGCAAGCUAUUCCAGAUGGUGGAGCUCCUGUUAUUUCAUCACUGGAAGUUCGACCACUUCCUCGAGGCGCUUACCAAAGUGGCAUGGAUGAUAUUCCCAAUAAGUCACUUCGUAAAAGUUAUCGAAUUAAUAGUGGUUACACUAACGGGUCCUUGAGGUAAAAGCAUUUCAUUAUUCCUUAUCCAUAUAAGGCUUCUGUUUUGUGUAUCAGGAUAUCUGUGAUUUAACUUGAAUUAAACAGGUACCCUGUAGACCCAUUUGACCGCAUUUGGGAUGCUGAUCAAAGUUAUACACCCUUCCAUGCCUCGCCUGGAUUCAACAUUCCUCUUAGCUUCAAUUUGUCAAGUCUAAAAGAGAGCCCUCCUUUGGAUGUGUUGCAGACUGCUCGAGUUCUCGCACGACAGGAUGUGUUACAUUAUAACUUACCUCUAGAUAAGUUGGGGGACUACUACAUUGUACUCUACUUUGCCAGCAUCCUUCCUGUGUCUGCUUCUUUUGAUAUAUUAAUCAACGGGGACGUUGAGCUAUCAGAAUUCACUAUAAGAUCCUCAGAAGCCAGUACUCUAUAUUUUAAGCAGAAGGGAAUCAUAAAUCUGGAUAUUGCACUUAGAAGCAUCAUAUUCUACCCUCAAAUUAAUGCGCUUGAGGUUUAUGAAAUUGUUGAUAUCCCACCUGAGACUUCCUCACUACAGGUAACAUUUUCUUUUGUAUAUCUGAUGGUUUUUUUCUGCUGUCUAGUGCUGAUUCCAUUCUUCCUGAACUUACAGUUUCAGCACUUCAAGUUAUUGAGCAGGCUACCGGUUUUGAUCUUGGGUGGCAAGAUGAUCCAUGCUUCCCAACCCCAUGGGAUCAUAUUGAAUGUGAAGGAAGUACAGUAACAUCAUUGUAUGUAUCUAUUAAACUGUUACUUUGUAAUUUUCUUAGUCUUACCAUAGAGAACUACUCAUACCGGGUUAUCAUCUUAGGGACCUUUCGGACAUCAACUUGAGGUCAAUUAGUCCAACGUUUGGUGACUUGUUGGAUCUUAAAAUACUGUAAUGCCUUUUGCUGUGCAACAUGUUUCUUUUACUAUUAAUAUCGCUGGUAUCCUCAAAAUAAACACUUGCUAAAUGUUGUGAUUUGGUUUUCAGGAAUUUGCAUAACACAUCACUUUCAGGAGCAACACAAAAUCUGGGCAGCCUGCAGCACCUUGAGAAACUGUAAUGUCCGUCAAAAAGUACUCACCCGUUACAGUAUCUUCUAGCAGGACUAAUAAUAUAAUCUUGACUAAAUUCUCAGGAAUCUGAGUUUCAAUCAGCUUACAUCCUUUGGUUCUGAUAUAAGCAGCUUGGUUAACCUUCGAGUUCUGUAAGCUGUUUUCCUAUGUUGUUAUUUCUUUAUAUGAUAAACGAUAAUUGAACUAAUGCUGCAUUAUUGUUAUUGUUAUUAUUUUUCUACAUGUAAGGGACUUGCAUAAUAACAGAUUACAAGGAAUUGUUCCAGACAGCUUGGGAGAGUUAAAAAAUCUACAUCUACUGUAAGUGACUUUGAUAAAUAUGCAGUUUGUUUGUCGUAGCGCAGCCUUGUGUUUCACCUGAUGAAAAACUGUGUUCUCUGUUCUCCAGGAAUCUGGAGAACAACAAACUUCAAGGUACCCUUCCCCUAUCUUUGAAUCGAGAAAGUUUGGAAGUUAGGUAUGGCACUCAUAUAAUAUUCUCCUUUUAUUCUCUAGGCUCUAGCUAUUUAUUCAUGUAUCGUUCGUGAUAGAUAAACUUCCAUACAGAACAUCAGGAAACUUGUGUCUUUCCUUCUCGACAAUGGCAUGCAAUGAUGUCUCGUCAAAUCCUUCAAUUGAGACACCACAAGUUACUGUUGUUACCAAUAGAAAGCACAGGGGGCAUAGGCAUUUAGCAAUUAUACUUGGUGCAGCUGGGGGAACCUUAUUUGCUCUACUCCUUACUUCUCUUUUAGUAUUAUUGUACAUAAAUAAGAGGAAAACUGAAGCCACAUAUACCACAAGUAUGUACUAGUUAUUCACAUUGUUGUUACCGUGAAAUCAGCAACAUGGUUCUUAUACACGCAUUUUUCUUAUAUCAGGUGCAGCAAUUGAUAUGCGAAAUUGGAAUGCAGCAAGAAUCUUCUCCUACAAAGAAAUAAAAGCAGCUACAAAUAACUUUAAGGAAGUUAUAGGCCACGGUAGCUUUGGAUCCGUCUACCUCGGAAAGCUAUCGGAUGGCAAACCGGUUGCUGUAAAAGUGCGGUUUGAUAAAACUCAAUUGGGAGCUGAUUCUUUUAUUAACGAGGUUUAUCAUCUAAAAUUCUCUAUGAUUUUCUUCUUUAACCAUAAAGCAGUAGGAGCUCGUUAAUUUUCUUAGUAUUCUAUUUGUGAUCUUAAUGGAGGACUCUAUGCAGUCUAUUAUAUCUAAUGUUUUGGAGCUUGAUUCUUUAGUUUAUGUAUGAUGUUUGGCUUCUUGCUACAUCUAAUUUUCAGUCACAUCGGCCCUGCAAAAGUUACCUCAUUGUUCGUAGGGUUGCAUGCAGGUUCAUCUCUUAUCACAAAUUCACCAUCAAAAUCUUGUGAGCUUGGAAGGAUUUUGUCAUGAAUUGAAGCAUCAGAUACUUGUCUAUGAGUAUCUACCAGGUGGAUCUCUGGCAGAUCACCUGUAUGGUAUGUUUUCCUGAAUAAAAGAUUUAACAUUUUCAUUUUGUAAUUUUAGCUACAUGUCCUUUAAACCGUUAUAGCUUGUUCUUGAUGUUUGUUUCAGGUCCGAAUAGUCAAAAAGUUUCUUUAAGCUGGAUUCGGAGACUGAAAAUAGCUGUUGAUGCUGCAAAAGGUAUGUCUAAUUGUCUAGCAUUAAAGGAAUCCCUUGAGGGAAUGUGUAGAGUUUAUGCCAUAUUUGUUUGCGGAAAUGGUAUAGUUUCACUUUCACAUUUGUAAGUGGAAACAGCAGGAGGUCCAAUGUUUUUGGCAUAAUAAAUGCUAUUACCAUUUUAUUGCUUCUGAUCAUUGGCCUUGAUUGUUUGGAAGGGCUGGACUAUUUGCAUAAUGGGAGCGAUCCAAGAAUCAUACACCGUGAUGUCAAGUGCAGUAACAUCCUUUUGGAUUGUGAGAUGAAUGCGAAGGUCUGCGAUUUCGGCCUCUCUAAGCAAGUAACUCUGGCAGAUGCAACUCAUGUGACCACUGUUGUCAAGGGCACUGCUGGCUAUCUAGAUCCUGAGUAUGUCUUCCUUAAAUUGUGCCUUUACGGCACCGCACACCAUCAUUGAUGUCGUUUAUUAACUGCAGGUAUUAUUCCACCCAACAACUGACUGAGAAAAGUGAUGUCUAUAGUUUUGGGGUUGUUCUUUUAGAGCUCAUAUGCGGAAGAGAACCGCUGACUCAUUCCGGAACUCCAGAUUCCUUCAAUUUAGUGCUAUGGGUAACCAAAAUUUCCUUUUCCUUUUAAUUUCUUAUUCUUGUGUAUGAAAAGGAGCAUGAAGGUGUGAUGUUGUUGCAUUUGUCAACUAACUGGAGAGUCAUGGAUUUAAGAAGGCUAAUUAGUUUAAGCAUGUUAAUACAAUAUCCUGAAACAUAGCUCUAAGCAACUGGAUCAUAUUUGACUUAAACGCAGGCAAAGCCGUACUUGCAGGCAGGUGCAUUGGAGAUAGUGGAUGACAACUUAAAGGGAACCUUCGAUGUUGAAAGCAUGAGAAAAACAGCCUUAGUCACCGUACGGUGUAUGGAAAGAGAUGCUUCACGGAGACCCACUAUUGCACAAGUGUUGGGUGAGCUGAAAGAAACCUACAGUCUUCAGCUUGCAUAUCUUGCAUCUUUGGGACACUCAGGUUAACCAACAUCAACCCUAUUCCAACUUUGAAAACUUUUCCUGCCCACUAUUUAAAACGAGAUGAGGUAUAUAUAGUUGUUUCAAAAACAGACAUCGUAUAAGACUGCUUAUAUGUAUCUAUUCUGUCAAUGGCAAGCAAUAAUAGUGUAGUGUAGUGUAUUUGGGUAAACUUGCCAAACCAUCCAACAUGUUCGGACACAAUGUUUCAUACAUGUUUCUGUCCCUGCAACAUGUGCAAAUCAAUUGAAAGCAGUGAGUGGGGCUUGGUAUUCAACUAAAUACUGGAUUUUGAAGCAACCAUCCAAUAAUAAAAAAUGACUGCUAUAUUAUUUCUCCUGCGGAAAAAUGCUGUUGUUCUUGCAAAAAGAAAGAAAGAAAAUUAUUUAUUUGCUUUCAGAUGACAUUAUUAGAGUAAUAGACUUAUUAUUCAUUCAAGAAAAGAAAUUUUGACUAUUCAAUAGUUAAUUAGAGCAUAGCCGACAAAGAAGAUGUUGAAUGAUGAUUGUUGGUUUCAGAGGCCAGCUUUUGAAAAUUUUAAUUAUGUUUUUAAAAUUUUAAAAAAUAAUUAUUCCCUUAUGAAAAUUCUGAUUAAAUCUUUAAAAUUUUUUAAAAUUCUAAUUAAAAUGCUCCAAACAUUUUUUUGUUAUAAAAAGUUUUAAUUAGAUCUAUCAAUUCUUUUUUUUUAAAUAUUUUAAUUAAAUACUCAAAACUUAAUACUAAGAUUUGUCAGUAUUGAUUUCUACUAUAUUAUAUUGUUGGAAUUAGUUUAUUUUAUUGUUGAAUAUAAACAUAUGAUAAUAUUUAAUUCUUAGUCUUUUAUAUAUUUAAAAAGUUAUAUACUAACAUUUAUAUUUGAAUAUGUAUAUUAAAAAAAAAGUUAAAUUUUACUGUUAACUUUAAUGCUUUAAGUAAUUGUGACUGUUACCCCUCCGUACCUCCUCUUUCUUCAGGGAGGCUUAUCAUAAGAAUGUUACCUUUCAUACCUCCCUGAAUUUAAUCUUUAUACUUUUUAUUUGUCAUUUCUAACUUAAUUUUUAUAAAUUUUAAAAUUUUAAUCUUAAUUUUAUACUUUUUAUAUGUCAUUUUUAACUUGAUUUUUAUAAAAAUUUAAAAUUUUAGUCCAGAUUUAAAUAGUAUUAUUGAUUUUUACUAUUUACAAAAUAUACGGUAAACAUAUAUGAUUACAUAUAUAACAUUAUAUCAAUUUUUUUUAAAAAUGAUGAAAUUAAUGUUUCAAAAAAUAUCAAAAAUAAAUGUAUAAUACAAAAUUAAUAGCAUAAUUACAAUUAUAAUUGAAGUUAAAAACUGAUAUUCCAAAAAACAAGAAUUAAAGUUGAGCAUAAUAGCAGAAUUGAUUUGAUAUUGAAUACACGUAACUUGUACCGAAAACUGAAAAAUGUUAAUACAUUAACACAAGUCUUGAGAUUCAACAAAAAGAAAAUGUUGAUAUUGUCUCAACGGACUCUCCAAAAAACACAGCUGUAAUCUUUGUCCGAAACAUCAGACAAGAAGUGAAAGGCGGCGAUGGUUUCCAAUUUCAACUUUUUCUUCAAGACAGUCAACCACUUUCCCAUUCCAGGAAAACCCAGGGCCGAGAAAAUUCCAGCUGGAAAUUUUCAUUGAGUUUGAACUUCACUAUUAUCUUUCAUGAUGUUUGAUCAAUUCCGUGUUGUUAUUGUAUUUCUUUUACUACUUGAGUUCCAUUUCUCUGCCUUUCUUGAGCUCUUCAUGUUGUAAUGGUUUCCCCUACACUUACUUCGUGGACCUUAAUUGGUCUUAUAAGAGCCUUUCUCGGCCUUGCUUUAGCUUUUGUCCUUCUCUGUGGAUCAACCUUGGGGUUUUUCGCUUGGAAACUUUAUCAUGUUUUUGGACUUUACUUGCCUUGUCCUUGUUCUGGGUUUCUUGGGUACCAAAAUAGCAACCUCUGCUGGCAUAACCUUCUCAUUCAAUUCCCAGUAACAAACAUUCAUUCUGCUCUUAACUGCCUUUCAAUAGGCUCCCUCUUAACUUACUUUGGUUCAACGAUCAAGACUGGAUUUGGAUGCCAAGUCCAUUGAAUUGCUGGGUGAAGCAUGCCCUACUUCACCUUCAGGUUUAAGAUUGCAAACUAUAGUGAAUAAAAAAAAGAGUGAUUCUGAUACCAAGGGAAAGAAAAGUAUAUAUCUGAAGCAUAAAUCUAAAGUUCAACGAGGUAGGAUAGCUGCUUUUGGCUAUCGAAAGUCUGCUAAUUUCUCAGUUGCAGAUGGUUCUUCUGUUGAUGGAGGUGAAACAAUGAUUGAAAAUUGGGGCCUAGUUAGUGGAAUAGAAGAUUGUUUUCCUGGUAAGUAAAACUUAUCUAAUGUGAUAUCUUUGCAUUAUGGGAAGUUUAACUGCUGCUUCUGAAACUGGUUGAGGUUCUAUGAUUAUUUUUUAACCAUUUUAGUAAGUUAAGGAAUCAUUCAUUGACAUGAAGUUUUUAUUGAAUAUUGAACUAUUAAAUGAUGAUCUUCUCUUAUUAGCAUUACAUUUGUAUUGACCUAUGUGAAACCUGCCAUUUUAGAUGAUAAAAACACUCAAUCUGGCAAUGAUUUGAGUGAGGCAACCUGGCAUGGUUUUGAACUGAGCAGUGGAGAGGGAAAAGGUAACACUAAUGAAAAAUUUGAGGUUACUGGAGAUGGGGAAAAUCGGAUCAAAAUAUUGGAACAAGCUAUAAAAGAAGAAAAAGCUGCAUGUGCUGCUUUAUAUUUGGAGUUGGAGAAAGAAAGGGCCGCUUCUGCUUCUGCUGCUGAUGAAGCUAUGGCAAUGAUUUUGCGUCUUCAAGAGGAUAAGGCAUCGAUAGAAAUGGAAGCAACGCAAUAUCAAAGGAUAAUAGAAGAAAAAUUUGCUUAUGAUGAAGAAGAGAUGAACCUUCUAAAAGAGGCCCUUGUCGGGAGGGAGAAGGAGAAUCACCUUUUGGAGAAAGAAGUUGAAGCUUACAGGCAGAUGGAUACACGUAGAGAUGAGCCAGAGGAGUAUGAUUUUUUCGACAUGAUGCAAAUAAAGGGGGACAAAUUCCUUCAGUUUCACUUGGAUUAGGUGAAGAUCCGUUGCUGAUGGGAAACAGUGGAUCCACCAGGAAGAAUGAAGUGGGAAAAGGUUCUAGUUGGCCUUCGGAAUUUCAGACUUCAUCAUCUGAGAAAUUAAGUCAUACUGUGGUUGUUAAUUUAACUGGGAAAGGAAAGGGACAAGAUGAUGAUGAUGAUGAUGCCAUAGUAUGCCAAGCAAUAACAAGAAAAACUGCCCCAAGUUCUGGUGGCACUUCUUUAAGUGUAGAUGAGCUUGAGAGAAAUUCAGACUUUGGUGAGCCACUAGGCAGAAAUCUACACAAUUCCACAUUUGAUAUGGAACCAACUGUUUAUGAUGUCCAUGUUAUUGAUGAUAACAAAGAAAGUCCUAAGGAGGAGAAUAGUAAAAAAAGUAAACUGCCAAUUGGUUCUGCAUCAGACCACAAAACCUUUCUAUAUGACUUAGAGAGGAGUUCUUCUGCAGUCAGUAACGAGAGGCUGGAGAUUGAUGCUGAAAUUGAACACCUUACAGAGAGGCUACAAAUAGUUGGAGGAGAAAAAGAGAAGCUGACUUCCUCUGCCGAUCAGAGGGAAAGGAUAGAUAUCCUAUUGAAACUCAUCAAGGAACAGGUGAAGCAGCUUCGAGAAUUUCAGCGGCUAAAGGAGCCUGUUCAACAGACUUCUUUACCUCCUUUAUCUCCAUCCUCUAAGGUAGUGUUACAUUUCAAUUUGACAGUUUUUCAUUUUAUAAACCAAGGGUAACUUUUGUUUGCAUGCUUGUUAGCUAUCUGCUCUUAUGCUUGCAUCAAAUUUCCAUUUUUGAGCUCCUGACAGGGAGAAAUCAACAAUCCAGUUUUUCUUCUAUACAAUCAACAAAAACAUGAUAAUUUGUGUCGAUACAGAAUCUUUGUAAAAUCAUUGUUCCAUAUCUGCAUGAAAAGUGGACAACUCAAGUGAGUGAAUGUCAACCGAGUAAACGUAGUGUAUGUGUGAGACAAAACUGACCAUAGUUUUCAGAUGUAACCCUACUUAUUAAGCAUAAAAAUAUUGAGAAAUGACUGUUGCAAUUUUCCGUAACAUCAGUUGCAUGAUACUGCCAUAUUUAUUAUUAUUUCCUUAGUAGCAUAUCUGUGAACGCAUUUCAAGAGUGUUUUUUUGCUUUCAUGGGGUUGGAGUGAAAAAAAUACUCUUUGAAAAUCAAUAUUGUGUGAUCCCAAAGCGUCAUUUCUUCCUUCAAGUAUAAUUCUGUUGGUCAAUUGCAUGAUGAUGAUGAUCGGAAAAUAUAUCUUGAAGAAUGUUGUUUUUCAUUUUUCCACUACUAUUUUCUUACAGAACUUAUUGACUACUUAGGUGUCUAUACAUCAUUCCUUGCUUAGGACUUACUUCAGUUGCUUCUGUUUAGGUAGUAUGGAUGUUGUUUGAGGUCUAAUACCAAUAUCAUUAAGUGUAGGGUCCUUCUCUAUGGUGAGCUUCUUAUGCGAAUAUUUUAACCUUCCAUUAUUCGGGUUGUUUUCGAGAUAAUAUCUGGUUUUUAUUGUCAAAACACCUCCAAAGUCACCUAAAUUGUGUGCUGUCAGGAUGAUGUUAAGGCUGUUUUUUUCAUUUAAAAAUCAUCCAUAAGAAAGCUGUUGCUUUGGUGAAUUAAAAGGGACCAACCAUAUGAAGUUAAUACAAUGGGAGUAAUAUAAUAACAAGUUUGGUGAUAAUAUUUAUAUCUUACAACUGGCAGAGGACUAGAAAUUUGGAUUCUAGGUGGAUUCAUGUAGCUUACCUAUUUAAUAUGUUCAAAUUGAGAUUUUUCUUGUUAUUUAUAUGUGAACUUCCAACUAAGGGGAAAGAGCUUUAAAUGAUUUUGUUGCCUUGAAUGUCGGUGGACUUUUAUAUAGGUCGUUAGAACCGGGUUUAAUUAGUAUUCAAUCUUCUGCAGAAAAUGAGAACAACUGUAAUCCUUGCAUGAAUCUUGUUGUCAGAAUUGUGUCAUGUUUUUUCAGCCAUUUCUUUCAUAGUUGCUAACAACCAUUCGUGUACUAUCAGCUCAGCUCCACUAAAAGACGCAGGUGAAAUGCAUUGGUCAAAAUCUAUGAUAGUGCCUAAGCCAGGUACAGUUGUUAUCACAGCUCGGAAAAAUCAUCCCAAUUGCUCCAAGGUUCGCCUUCAGUCCUUUUUGAGUUAGUUCGUAAGUUGUCGGUAAAAUCCGUAAAACAUAGAAGUUAGCGUGUGGAAGGUAGUUGAUUUAGUUGGGUGUUUGAUGCCUUGCCUGCUGAAAAAAAUGUAUGUAAACCUUUAAAUAUUAUGUUACUUUCAAUUGAAUUAGGGUAGCUUCAAAGUUGUCUCUGGUUGACCCCUCAAAUGUUGGUCUGACCUAUAAAUAAAUAAUCAAAGGCCAACUUUGAUCACUGGUUUGUCAUCUUUCUUGGCUUCGAGUACAACGGGUUAUGCCAAGGAGCUGCCUAUGGAUUUAAUUAUAGUUUGAAAAGGAAAAUGUACAAACAGAAAAGGACAAGAAAAGUUGACAUUAUGUGGUCACCAUCUUCUCGAUGCAAUCUUUAUGAUUAGAAGAAUGUAGUUGGGAGCUAGGACUAUAUUCCAUGGUUGACUUUGUUUAUUUGCCUGAGCCCUGAUGGAUCACGUCGACUCAAGCUUUUACCUUGUAAUUUCAGGAUUAGAAGUGAAGUAUUCCACUAUAGGUGAAGAUGUAGUUCAUUGAUUCUAAUACUAUAGCAGUCAUAAUGAUUAAAAUUUGUGACUUUGAAUCCUAAACUGUAAUGAUAAAUGUUAAAAUUAUAGUUUAUUUAUUUAUUAGUCGAAAGUAAGGGAAUUGGAUGCAUAUGUGUGCCCAAGUUUAGGUAAUUAUUAUGGUUGAAUGGCUCUUCUUGAUCCAUAUCUUUUCAUCAUUCAUGUGCCUGAAAACCAAGACAUGAAUCAAUGUCCUUUGCUUGCCACGCACCCAACCGCGCACCAGGAUGUCUUAGCCUUAAAGUUCUUAGCUUUUUGCUUUCGGCCUUUACCAACCCACCCUUAGCAAUGGGACCUUAGCUGGAAAUAUUAUGCUCACCAAAAAGUGAAUGCAAUGUUUUGUACCCAAGUAACGGUAGAUUUAUUUUAUGACCUAUUUUUUUUAAAUUCGAGAUUAUUAUUAUUAAUUUGAUAAAAAAAUUAUUUAGAAUUAUUUUUAAACUUUUAUAAAAGUUAAUAUAAGAAUACAUGUUUGAAAAAAAAAAACAAGUUUUGAGAUUUCAUCCGAAUUUAGGCGCUACUUUUGGUGCUUUUGUAUUAUAUGAUUCUAAUAGAAUAUUGUUCUUUGAUGGGAAAGUUGAUAUGUUUUGAAAAUUAAUGAUUGAAAUCUUGAGAAAAUUAAGUUUACUUUGGUGGGAUGGGAUGAUAUCAUAAUUUACCGAAUUUCAUUUUAUUAAUUAAGAGAUAAUAUUCAAGUAUUUUAAUAUUUUUAUUAACCAUUCACAUACAUAUAGUUCUUAAAUUGAGCCCUCGAGGCCCUAGAAGUAAUUUAGAAAUAAUUCGAGACCAAAUUAGAAACAUUUGGUAAGUCUAGGAAAAAAUUGCAAAAAUUUGGAUUCAGGGGUCACACGGCCGCGUGCCAGGCCGUGUAACUCACUGACUUGCAUACAAAGGAACUUAUAGGAGACACACAGUCGUGUCACCAGACCGUGUGCCACACACAGCUGAGUCACAUGCCUGUGUCUCAGGCCGCGUGGAUCUAAAAUUUGCGUGAAAUCAAGCCAUUCCUAACACCAAUUCAUGCAUAAUCGUUUAAGCCUUUUGUACACAUAAUCAAGGCACCAAAACCCUAUCAAAACAUACAUAUAAUGACCAAUUCAAGAGUCUUAAAUCAACUAACCAAUAUGCCAUUCAAGGCACCUCAAACGCAAUCAUCAAGACUUACCUAAACAUGCAUAUUUUACCACUUUCCAUUCAUCAACUACUAGUUCAAUACCUUUCAAAACAUGCCAUAGUUUAAACAUGAUCAAGCUACUUCAAAACAUAUUAUAUGAGCCAUUCCAAAACAUGUAUAAUAAGAUAACUACAACAACACAAUCUAACAGGCAUCAAAUGUUGUCAAACCAAGAUAACAUCCAUAACUUAUACACGACAAAUCCCAACUAAAAAUUCACCAAAAUAACAUUAAAAGCCCACCUAUACAUGCCAUUAUAACCUUGACUAAAACAUUUAAAAACUACCGAUAUUUAUGUUAGAUAGUGUGAUAGAUCUUUGACGAGUUUCCAAAUCGAUCGAGCUACCGAUAAUCUAUAAAACAUAGGAAAGAAACUACGUAAGCACUUAAUGCUUAGUAAGUUCGUACAACAUAAACACAACUUACCAUUUCAUUUGCAUAAUGUAAAUAGCAUAAUUAUAACACCAACUAAUACCAUAAGCUUGGCACAAUGCCUAUACAACAUCACCAAACAUCACCAAAUACACAAGUUAGUGCAUUUAUACAUGGUUCAAAUGAUUUCAUUUAUAACUGAUGUGGUCGUUGAGAGCACCAAAAAUAUCUUAUUCAUUAUAAAAUAAUAAAAAUAACAGUAAAGGGGAAGUAGGGUCGAAUCUUCAGGUACUGGAUUGUACGAAUGCUCGUUUCUUGAAAUCUUGGACAAUUUCUUGGCCAAGAAACUUGCGUUCCUGAAAAAAUAAAAAAAAACAGAAUUAAGAAUUUCGAUUUAGAAAAAUAAAAAUAGUAUUUAAAUUAAAUUGAAAUUGCGAAAUUAAAUAAAUGACGAAAAUUGAGAUGGAGAAUAUAUAAAAAUAAUAAAGAGAGUUAAAGGAAAAGAAAUUCUUAUUGGUAGAUUCCAGCCUCCAGUUGUCUCAUUCUGCUUUGGGUUCAAUCCUCCGCUUUUAAAUAACCUUUCUCAACUCAAGUAAGCCAGUUAUAUUGGAAGAGGACGCCUACGACCACCAGCUCCAAAGAUUAGACUUACGAUUUUUAAGGAACCUGACUCUAGCCAGUAAUCUAUGCUAGAUCAACGCUUCUCAAUGGCGAAUCCCACGCCAUUUUGUCUCUUUGGCUUGCCAACCUUUGACGCAGUAAGUUAACGAACCGACUGUGUAAUCCUUCCAAAACAUACAAAGCGACCGCCUUUGCAUAUGCUGAAAAUCUUACUUCUUAAGGGCCAUGGACGGAAGCGUCAGCCCAUAGUGCGGAGAAACGAUGAAUACUUGGCGAGAAGGCUAAGUACAGAUUCUAGGCCUCAAGAACCCUUUUUGGGGAAUAUUGACAACUUUCGGCUAGAUAGGUUUUAGUGGCUUAUGAUAAUGGUGGAAAAGGAAAUAAAUAUAAAAAUGGAAAAGGGGAUUUUAUUGAAAGAAAAUAUGAAGAAACAAAAGCCUAGACUUUCAGGGGGAGAGUGUUUACAGAAAAGGAUGAACCCCAAAUAGAGUCACUUCACCCCCUAUUUAUAGUGCUAGGGAGAUAGUCUAAUUGAACUUAAAUUCUAAAAAGAUAAAUACAUUUAAUUAAAGAUAAAUAAAGAUAAUUAAAAUAAAAUCCUAAAUUUGAAUAAUCCUAAUAAUUAUCUUAAUAUUAAUUAUCCUAAUAUAAAUAAAAUGGAGUCUUAUAGAAUAAAAUCUCUUCUUUUUGCGUUUUUAGUCCUUGUGUCUUCCACGCUCGCACUUUUGGCACAAUCUUUUUCCUGUGUCGCAUAUUAGCCCAAUGUGUCUCCAAAUUCGCACUUUUGUCCCUUAAUUUUGCUUUUGCCUCCAAAUCAGUCCCUAAAAGAUAAAAAGACAUAAAUAGCUCAAAUUAGUAGGAUCAAGCUCAGAAUAAACACAUGAUUAAUACAUAAAAAUAUGUUAUUCUAGAGCAUUAUCAAAUUCCCCCUACUUAGCCCAUGCUUGCCCUCAAGUAUGGUUCCUAUCCACUGUGAAAGUUAAAUUCUGCCAUAAGAGAAAUACCACUCCAAAGUUUUAUAAGAAUUAGUUAAAAAUGCAUAUAAAAAAUAAAGAGAACCCUAAGCUUGCUUUAGGUAAAAUAGAAAAAGUUUUCCAAUUAAUACACACAGAAAUUAAAAUCGAUUUUAAUUAUUUCAUGGAAAUUAGGUGAAUUACUAAACCUACCAAGACACCCUCUUUGUUUCUUCCUUAGUCCCAAACUUUAUUUAUUUACAUAUAUUUUCUCUUUUUUUCUUUUUUUUUUUACUUUUUAUUUUAUUUUAUUUAUGUAUGUGUGUAUGUAUGUUGAACUUUUUGACGCGAAGAGUGAUGACAGCCAAGCACCAAACCCCGGUUACUUAGCCCAACAUACUUUUUAUUUUUUAUUUUUCCUAAGAACAUGUCGAACCUUUUGAUGCGAAGAGUGAUGACAACCCAAGCACCAAACCCCGGUUACUCAGCCCAACGCAUUCUUAAGAAUUAAUUUCAGUUAGCGGAGCUUUAACUAUCACGUCACACAACCUUUUGACGCGAAGUAGAAUGACAACCCAAGCACCCUACCCCGGUUACUUAGUCAGUCACGUUCUAAGCUGUACUCAUAACCACGGAAAAAUUUAUUAACAAUGAAAUUAAAAAUUUGAGAACUUCGAGAAAAACAAUUUAAGUGUCAAUAACAAGUUUCAAUAAUCACCUAAUAGCCAUGAACAUUAAUUUAGCAUGC
This 59237-nucleotide long non-coding RNA is filed under the name Gossypium barbadense (sea-island cotton). RNAcentral describes it as "long non-coding RNA (GBAR_LNC006361)". Lineage: Eukaryota; Viridiplantae; Streptophyta; Magnoliopsida; Malvales; Malvaceae. The record is from RNAcentral.